AAGAUUGACUGAAUCUUGGGUUACUGUGUCUCUGGUCUCAAAUGAAACACAAGUGGGAAGCCUUGCUGCAGUUUCAGCUUUGGUUUGUGUUUGAAGUUUUGAAUGUAAAAAAAGAACCGAGCAUGUGGUUGCCGACAAGAAUGGCCUGAGGUUUCUUAAGCUUCAAUGUAAUGUUACAACCGCUGCUAAUUUGGUGGGGUGGGAGGUCGCUGGGUCGCUGUCAGUCCUUUUGCUGCUUUUCUUUCUUUUUGUUAUUUGUUGAGUUUUUUCCAUUUCUACUUUUCUUAAUAUAUAAAUUAUCAUUUUUUUUAAUAUGCAAAAUAUAUAGAACAUUUUAUGAGUUUAUAAAUAAAAAUUAUAUUAUGGGAUAAUAGUGUAUGAGUUCCUGGUGCUUUGGAGUUCUUUAAAUUAAGGGCCCAGUUUGUCCAUUUGUUUCAGUUAGGUCCUUAUUAAAAAUUAAUUUUAAUAUUGAUUUUCUUAAUUAUAACUAAUACUAAUGAUAUUUCAUAGUUAUAAAUAUAUUAGAAUUAAUCCAAAAUUUUUUUUUAGUGUGGCAUGGUUAAAACUACCUUUUUCUAUAAGUAAUCACUACUUUUGCAUUAAGAAAAAUACUCCUACUUUUAGAAAAAAAUCAAGUACCUAUAGUUGUGAGGACUCGAGCUCACUCGAUGAUAAAUCUUCAUAUUAAUUAUGAAAAUAUCCUCUAAAUUUUAGCUUAACUAUUCGAAAUUCAAUGUUAUUUCGUUUAUUUGAGUGGGGGUUAGGGGUCAAUUUGAUACAAAUUCAAAAUUAUCCUCAUUUGCGAAGGUGAUAAAAGUUAGGGAUUUAGUUUGGAUGUCAGUAGCCACAAAUACUAAUCGCAUGCAUCUAAUUCAAAAUUAGAGGCAUUAUCGUUAUAUUGACAUGUGUCACCAUCCCACAACCUCUCCAAUGAAAAAUUGACAUUCAUCUUGUGUGCUUCUUGUCAAAAUCCUGAAAAUUAAUCACAAAAGUUAUAUUUUUAUUAUAAAAAGAAGAAAGAAACUCCAUAAGUGAAGAAAAAAAAAAAAGACUUACAUAAAUAGUUUGGAUAAUCUAGAUUUCAAGUUGUCUAUAGUAGCUUGAUAUUUUUAUAAAUAUCAAGAUUUCAAGUUGUCUAUAGUAGCUUGAUAUCUUCUAAAAAACACUCCAUCAACAUAUAUUUUAAUUUUACGUUAAUUAAUAAAUAGAAAAUCCAUUUUAGAAUUAAUUAAAACAUUAUUUAUUGUUGCCAAAGAAGGAAGUAUUUAGCGAUAAGAAAAAAGUGUCUCAAAUAUAUGUUUAAAAAAAGAAUCAUGGUUGGUUGGACUGAUUGAAUUUUUAUUUUCUUUUUCCUUUUUAAGAACUAAAAGACAAUUGGAUUGAUUGAGUAAUAAUAAAAUAUAUUUAUUUGGCAAAUGGCAGGUAGACUUUCUUCUGGUGCAGAUUGAUUAGAGAGAAUAUAUAACAAUUUUAAGCUCGUCAGAUUCGGAACCAGCUUAUCUGUCGUGUGGAGAUCACUUCCGUGUCUUAUUUUUCUAGAAAAAUCUGGACCAUUUGAUUUACCAUUAGGCAGUAGAGAAAUGUUGAUCUUGAUUCCUGAUCGGGAUCGAAGUUUGAUUCUAUCUAACAUGAUAUCAGAUUGCGAAGCAAGCUAGUUGCGAGUAACUUGUUCUAUUUUGAAGGAAGAAACACAAGUUCUAAUAAAAAAUUCUAAGUGUACAUUUUUUUUUAAAUAUUUUGUUAACAAUGAUAUGAAAAUAUUCGAACCCCUCCUCAUAUAGUAAAGUGAAUUACCAUCCAACGAUCCAACUAAUGUCUUCAAAUUGUAAAUUGCAAAUCGUGUGUUUGCUCCAUUACAGAGUUUCUUCAAUUUAAAAUAGAGAAUCGUUUGUGUUCUAGAUUAAUCGUGGGUCUAUAUCCAAAUCUAAAAAUUGACUAACUUGAUUUCUAUUAAAUUCUUAACCCUAACAAGAAAAAUAGAAGAUUAAAAAUGACUAAUUUGGUUUCUAUUAAUUUGAGUAACAAUUAAUAUUUAUCAUUCAAUAGUCACUUAUAUUAUCAAAAUCUUGGGUCGAAAAUAUUAGGAUAGGUACCAAUGAGCCUUUGGUCCAGUGGGAGAACCAUUGCACUUACAAUAAUGAGUGCAAAGGUUCGAGCCUCCAUAAAAGUAUUUAUGGGGCUUAUUUACAAUCCUCCCUCAAUUAUCAAAUAAUUGAGUAGAGCUAUUCUAUUCCUCACGAAAUGUGAGUAGAGUUGACAACUCUCGAAUAUUUGAGAGGGUUUGAAGAAUUUGAGCAGCGCGUCAGAGGAGUACAUGCCACGAGGAAGGUCCCAAUUGUAAAAUAUGUUUGUAAAUAUUAAUUGUAAUACCUACAGUCCUGUUUAACAGUAUUAAAAAAAAAAAUUAGGAUAGGUGAUAAAUGGAAUUAAGUUGUAGAUUAAGAUAGAAAUGGAUUUGGAGAGAGAUUGGAAUCCUGGGUAAUCCGGUACACGUUGGUGUGUUAAAUUCUCGUUGACUUCACGUUGACCGAGGCAUUAUUGGAAGAAACAAGCAAGCUUAUUUUCUUCUCUCAUUUUUAACCUGGCAAAUGCUAAGUUACAAUAAUUGUAACAUACAUCCCUCAUGUGAACCACACAAAUUGUGGGUCCUACAAUUUUGUGUGGUUCACAUGAGGAAUGUAUGUUACAAUUAUUGUAACUUAGAGGCUCCCUUUUAACCGUUGUCUAAAUUUAUUGAUGCGAGGCCUUUGAGAUGGUAAAGUGUUAAAUCUGAGAAGAGUACCCACACUAUUACUCUUAUUUUAUCACACUAUUACUCUUAUAGUCAAUGUUUGAUUCGCACGGAAAAAAAUUUGCGAGGAUUGUGAGGGUUGAUGCAAUAUAAUUUAGAUGCAAAGUGUUUACAAGUGCGAUGCUUCGUAAGUGUACUCGAAUCGUUAUAAACUCACGUUAUUUUCAUAGUGAUUAUUUCAUUUGCACGUGAAUAUAAUCAUAUAUGUGGAGAUUUUUUUUUUCCUAAAUUAUGGUAUUAUUUAGGAUUGAGAUGUUAUAUCUUUUAAACUAUAAUUAAUAUUAGUAAAAAACUGCAACUAUAAAAUAAAAGUUAAUAUUAUGUCCUGAAUAUAAUUGUUAAAUAAUAAUUUUGACAAAAUUAGUGAAGAUAUACAGAUUUUUUUAUCAUAUAAGUGUAAAAUUAUAUCAACUUAGCUUUUAAGUUAUACAGCAUCUACUGUUUACCAAAUACUUUAGUGUUGUAACUUUUAAGUUAUAACUGUCUAACCUUUAACCUCAAUCUCAAACGAGGCUUAUAAAGAUCAAGGAUUUCCUCAUAAAAAUUAUUACGUCAUGUGAUUGCUUAUUUAAUUUAUAUUUUCGUCAUUUAUCUUUAUUAAUUAAACAUGCACAUAUUAUUUCCUUUUAUUUUCUGCUUGGUAACCCGUAAAUACUAAUCCAGUACUACUAAUUUCAGACAGAAAAUUUUGAACUCUAGGCUGCAGUUUGACUCAAAAUGAUGGUCACUGGCUUCGCACCAUUUUACCGGUAUACAUUUCUACAAACUGAACAAGGCUAUUGAUUAUUAUUAUUAUUAUUUUAAUUUGUUUAUAAAUUACUAUUUUAAUUUUCACUUUUUAUUGGGUUGUUUAACGGAUUGGUGAAGCUGGUGGUCGUUGAUGCACUCACAAGGUACAAUUUUAUUUUAUAAUUUCAAAUUCGUAUUUUAAAACGCAGGUACAUUAUGUAUAUACAUAAUUAUUGAUUUUCGUAUGAGGGUGUUUUGAAAUAUUGCUAAAAGACCAAACUUUAAUAAACUAUUUUUGAUCUUUUUUUUUUUCCUAAAGUUUGGGUGAUAUGCGCAUUUUAAAUUCACGUGGAACAAAAGUUAAUGUAUGUAUAAAAAUUCUUUUAUUUUUCUGAGCAAAAUAGGCAAGCGAAAAAGUUUUGGCAAAUGAGUUGCAACUGAAUUCAAAACCAAUACAAUGCGAGCAUAGGAAAGAGGCCAGUGUUUAGGAUUUGAAUUUAGUAUUAAGCUGAAUUUUAUGGUAAGCUCUUUUAUAGUACUGUGAUUGAUAAGCUCAGCCCCGGAUUUGCUUUUGCUUUUGCUUUUACUUCAAGUGAAAGAGAGAGGAAACCUUUUGUUUUUAAUGUUACUGUGAUUGAUAAUCAUAAUAAUUCUCAGGGAAUCUAAUGUUAUAACUUAUAAGAUGAUCUCCUAUGAUGAAUAACAGUAACACAUUACUGUGAUUGAGAAAACUCAGUUACAAUAAACUCUUCAUUUAUUCAUUGCGGAGAUUGAAUAGCAAACAGAGAAUAGAAUGAAGCAGAGGAAUCUCAUUGCCAAUAAAAUUGACCCUCUUUAAUGUUAUAUGGCACAGGUGUGGAGGAAGAACAAGUUACUUGCAGUUUUUAUUGUAAAAUAUACAGGUAUGACCAUGAUCAUUACAGUUAGGUUUUGAUGAUUUCGGAUGCUUUUAAAAAAAAAAAAUUGUGACAUCUUUGAUUUAAGAUAGUUUUGCAGAAAAAAAAUAUAUAACUGACGAUUACAAUCAUUACAGCAAUGCUGAUGAGUGAUACAUCACUUGAAAUUUACUUGUCAGUUGCUGAAAUGAUGUAAAAAAACAAUAAACGAUAACAGUAAUAAUGUUCCCUUGCUGAAAUUCAAUUUUGACUUUCGACUCUUGGCUUUUAUGGAAAGUAAAAUGACUUGUACAUUAUACUCAUACAAUCCACUCUACAUAAUGACAUCAUUUUAAUAAGGCAAUGGCUGAUGAUCUCCAUUGAAAAACUACUUCAAUUUUUUUGCUUCAUUUAACUUUUUGGUUGUUGAAAAUAACCUUAGUUAUCAAAUAUUUGGAGAAAGAGAAAGGGUGCUUGCAGAAGUGGCAAUAUAUAUAUAUAUAUAUAUAUAAAAGGAGAAGUUGAAGAGAAAGGGUGCUUGCGGUUAUUUUUUGGCAAUAUAAAAUUUUUUUAGCAAAUAAAAAUUAAUUUUUUUUUCCGAUUUACUAAAAAAUUAAUUAAAAACUUAUGCGAUGGCAUUUUUUACGGGUGCAUAUACUCUCCCUUUAAAAGAAAAAAUAAUAAUCAAUACUUAAUAUAAUAUUAAAUACGAAAAUAUCAAUAUUUGACUACUCAAAUUUAUAUCAAUAGGUCCUUAAAAUUUGAAAUUGAAGAUACAAGAGGAAAUAUAUAUAAAUUUAAUUCUCAUAGAAAAGGAUCCUCUUAUAAUCUUAUAUAUUUGAGCUUUGAAAGAUUUUUUGAAACAAAUGUACUUUUAUUUGUGUACAAUCAAUAGUUACUUAUUUAUUAUAUAUUUAUUUACUAAAUAUCAAUCAUGUUAAUAUAUUUAGUCAGAAAAAUCAUAUCAAGAGAAAAUCAUGACUCUGCGCACAGAUAAAUACGUUAAUUUCUAUACUAUUCACUUAGCUGUGUAAUCAAUUAUCUGAAAUGCAAGUUUGUGGCUACAGAAAACUCACCAAAGAAAGAAGAUAAUAACAAUUGAGCAUUGAUAGCAAAACUAAUGCAUCCAAUUCUUCUUGACUUGAUGAGAUGACGCCAUGAUGUAAAAACAAGUACCUAAAUUGACCGGCACUGAGUGAUGUGAAUACUACCAGCCGGUUCAUCUCUUCCAGUCUCGCUUAGUUACAAUCACAAACACCACGAGAUUGACAUUUGCAUUAUAUAUAUCUUCAGCAGUCGAAACACCUUGCAUUACCAAAUUAACCAGUAACAAACAUAGCAAUCUUUCAUGGAGAGAAACCUUAGUCUCAGUAUGAUCACUGUGUCAUUAACCCACUGCCUGCUUCUUUGCUUGGUUGUUGCAGCAGCAGCAGCAGCAAGCAGCAAUAUUACCACAGACCAACAAGCUCUUCUUGCCCUGAAAGAUCAUAUAAUUUAUGAUCCGACCAACCUUUUAGCCAAUAAUUGGACCUCGAAUAACUCUGUUUGUACCUGGAUUGGCAUCACUUGUGAUGUCAAUAGCCACAGAGUCACAGCCUUAGAUAUUUCUCAAUUCAAUCUACAAGGCACCAUCCCUCCUCAACUUGGAAACCUCUCUUCACUCACAACACUAAAUCUUAGUCAUAACAAGCUUUCUGGAAGCGUUCCCUCCCCCAUCUACACCAUGCAUACGCUAAAAUUUCUUGACUUCACCGAUAACCAGCUCUCUGGUUCAGUGUCUUCCUUCGUCUUCAACAUGUCUUCAAUAGUAGAAAUUCGUUUGACCAAUAACAGAUUUUCUGGUGUGCUUCCGAAAAAUAUUUGCAACUAUCUUCCUUAUUUGAAAGCCCUUUUCUUAAACAAAAACAUGUUUCAUGGCAAAAUUCCUUCUGCUUUAUCAAAGUGCAAAACUCUGCAAAUAUUAUUGUUACACUUCAAUAAUUUAUCCGGUGCAAUACCAAAAGAAAUCGGCAACUUGACUAUGCUCAAAGGCAUAUAUCUCGAAUACAACAAACUCCACGGUAUGUUCAUAAUACUAUGUAAAUGUUUUAAUUUCUCACUUGUUAUUUUUCUUGAAUACUUUAGAUAAGAUCUAGUAAGUGAGAUUUUUUGGAUCUGUGUUAAUUUGCCAGGUGAGAUACCCCACGAAAUCGCUAAUCUUCCAAAUCUAGAGGCUUUAGUGCUUGGAAUGAACAACCUAGUUGGUGUGUUACCAGCUCCAAUCUUCAACAUGUCAACACUGAAGGUACUUAUCCUCAUAAAUAACUCUCUCUCCGGAAGUCUCCCAUCAAGAAUAGACCUUUCACUUCCAACUAUGGAGCAUCUUAACUUGGCACUUAAUAGAUUUUCUGGAACCAUUCCUAGUUCCAUCACCAAUGCUUCUAAGCUCACCUUUAUAGAGUUGAGAGGAAACACAUUUUCGGGGUUUAUUCCAGACACAAUUGGUAAUUUAAGAAACCUUGAGUGGCUCAACUUGGCUAAUAACUCCUUGACAUCUUCAACCUCAAAAUUGAGCUUUCUUUCCUCUUUGGCAAAUUGCAAGAAAUUAAGAGUCAUAGGCUUAACAGGCAAUCCACUUGACGGCUUCCUUCCAAGUUCAAUAGGUAAUCUUUCUGUGUCUUUGGAAAUACUUUUCAUCGCCAAUUGCAGUAUUAGUGGCAACAUUCCUCAAUCAAUUAGCAAUUUAAGCAACUUGAUGAUCUUAGCAUUAGAAGGAAAUAAAUUGACUGGACCAAUUCCAAUUACAUUCGGCCGACUGCAGAAACUCCAAGGCUUACAUCUUCAAAUCAAUAAGUUGGUAGGUUCAUUCCCAGAUGAGCUUUGCCAUCUAGGUAGGCUGGCUGAAUUGGCCUUAUUGGACAAUAGGCUUUCAGGAUCUAUACCUUCUUGUGUAAGUAAUCUCACUUCUCUAAGAUCUCUCUAUUUAGGGUCCAAUAAGUUUACUUCUGUUAUUCCCUCAACCUUCUGGAGGCUAAAAGACAUCUUGUUCUUUGACUUUUCAUCAAAUUUCUUGGUUGGUCCUCUUUCUUUAGAUAUAGGAAAUUUGAAGGUGCUUCUAGGAAUAAGUUUAUCAAAAAAUAAUUUAUCCGGUGAUAUCCCAGCCACAAUUGGAGGACUGAAAGAUCUUCAAUUUAUGGACCUAGCAUAUAAUAGAUUGGAAGACCCAAUUCCCAAAUCAUUUGGUGACUUGACAAGUUUGGAGUUUUUGAAUCUGUCAAAUAAUAAAAUCUCUGGGUCUAUUCCAACAUCCAUGGAGAAACUCUUUUACCUCCGAGAGUUAAAUCUCUCUUUCAAUAAACUAGAAGGUGAGAUUCCUAGUGGAGGAAUUUUUGCCAACUUCACAGCUGAGUCAUUUAUGGGAAAUGAGUUAUUGUGUGGUUUACCAAAUCUUCAAGUCCAACCAUGCAAAAUUAGCAAGCCGAGGACAGAACAUAAAUCAAGGAAAAAGAUACUGCUCAUUGUGAUUGUUUUGCCAUUGAGUAUUGCUCUAACGAUAGCAAUCACUCUAGUUCUCAAAUAUAAGCUGAUCGAAUUUGGAAAAAGAAGCACAGUGUUAUCAAAUGAUAGUAUCUUGUCAUCACAAGCAACACUAAGAAGAUUUUCAUACUUAGAACUUUUACAAGCAACAGAUAAUUUUGCUGAAAACAACAUAAUUGGCAUAGGAGGUUUUGGUUCUGUUUAUAGAGCAAGACUUGAAGAUGGGAUGAAGAUUGCAAUAAAAGUGUUUCACCAGCAAUGUGCAAGCGCAUUGAAGAGUUUUGAGGCUGAAUGUGAAGUGUUAAAAAAUAUUCGCCAUCGAAAUCUUAUCAAAGUUAUCAGCAGUUAUUCAAACAAUGACUUCAAAGCAUUAGUCCUAGAAUACAUGUCCAACGGGAGCUUGGGGGAUUGGUUGCAUUCCAGCAAUUAUAUGCUUAAUAUAUUUCAAAGGUUGAACAUAAUGAUUGACGUUGCAUCAGCUUUAGAAUAUCUCCACUUCGAUCAUUUACCUCCUAUUAUUCAUUGUGACUUAAAGCCUAGUAAUGUAUUGUUGGACGAAAAUAUGGUUGCUCAUUUGAGUGAUUUUGGCAUUGCAAAGCUUUUAAGUGGAGAGGAUGAGUAUGUGAUGCGAACAAAAACCCUUGCCACUAUAGGUUAUAUGGCACCAGGUUUGCUUCAAACAACUUUUUUUUAGUUCAUUUUAAAUUUUCCAACUUAUUGAUUUUUACAAUCCUCACAUCAAAAUGUUAUUGAUUAUUUAUCUAAUUGUGAAAUUAAUUUGAUUCAUAGAGUAUGGCAUAGAAGGAGAAGUAUCUACAAAAAGUGAUGUGUACAGCUAUGGGAUUAUGUUAAUGGAAACUUUUACCAAGAAAAAACCCACAGAUGAAAUUUUUGUUGGAGAAUUGAGCUUAAAGCGUUGGGUUAAUGACUUGCUUCCUACUUCAUUAGUGGAAGUUGUGGACAAAACUCUGCUAAGUGGAGAGGAAAAACUUUCUGCAGCAAAGGAGCAAUGUCUGUUGUCUAUCUUUAGCUUGGCUCUGGAGUGUACAAUGGAAUCACCGGGAAAGAGGAUUAAUGCAAAAGAUAUUGUUACAGGAUUACUCAAGAUAAGAGACACAUUGAGUAAAAGGAUAGGAAACUUAAGUUAAUUUCGUUUGCUUUCAUUGAUAGUUAAUUCAAAUUCAUGUAAUAAGUGUAAGAAUCUUAUAUGCUUUCCUUAGAUUUUUUUUUGUUUGAGAAAACUGUUGUAUUCAUCUUGUUUCCAUGGGCAGAGUUGAUUUAGUUCUUCCAAGAAAUGCUACUGAUGACCUUUGUUUUAUACUUUCGCUUUUUUUUGCAUGUGUUUCGGUAGAAUAGUGGUUUGGCUCACUCAAAGAAGUCAAACUGCACUAAAAGAAUAUGAUUUAAUUUAUUAAACAAAACUUCAAGUUCAAGAAAAGUAUCUCACUGCCCCCAAUGCUUUGGACACCUAUUGGUAGGUUUGUACGUGUCCUCAACUUUUUUUUAGAGCACAAAAUUCGAGUCCCAUGGAGACUCAAACAUUCCUUUUCCGCAUCCCGAGCGUGCUAAAUUCAUCAGACUGACAAUUGGGACAUAUAGAAGAGUGAAAUGUUUGGAGCACGCUAAGUUCGAGCGAAAGAGAUUAAUUUACAGAAACUAAAGCCAAGAGAAUAAAGGACAACACUUAUGUGAAGCGACAUAAUUGUAUUGAUAGCACAAUGUCAAAUUCAUACAGAGAUCUAGUAUACUAUUUACAGCCGGUAAGGGCUAAGAAUUGAUGUAGCUAGAAUACAAAGACGAUAAGGUAUGUUGUGCACUAUUGUUUUAUUCUACGAUCAAUCUUGACCCUUGAUGCUUGGCUCUCAAUCUUGUCCAUUGAUCUUCUUUGAUUUUGUACACUUCAAGACCUUUCAGUAUCAUUCCUUGUUGUUGGUGUCUUCCGUGCUGUAGAAUUCAUAUACAAGCCUUCCCGCCGACUUGCGAAGUAUUCGUUCAUUGAUGCAUUUUAUCAAACAGCUGGGCUACUUAUACCAAACACCGCGUGGUUUAACUCCCCCUCUCUAGCUUAACUAUCUGGGAAGGCAAUUAAUUGAGAUAUGAAUUAGAAAAUUAAAUUUUAAAAAUUAUAUUCGGACUCUACAUUUUGUAAUGAACAUUGGUUUGACUUGUUAUACAUUUACGCGUACAUAAUUAAUAACCGAUUCUCAAGUGCGGACAUUCAAGAGCACUGCUUAAAGACCAAAUAUUUUGAUUUACUAUUUUUUGUCUUUCAAUUUUCUUUUACGUUCUGAUGACGUCCGCAUUUUAAAAUCCUGUGGAACAAAGGUCGAAUUGUAGAGGGUAAGCAAACAUUUAUCCGAAUUAUAUUAUGAUAAAUCCUUUUCCAAUUAGAAUUAGGAAACCAUAGAUAUACUGAUUUUUUUUGUUUAAAUGAUUUUGUGAUUUACUUGAUUGAUUGAGUGAUUGAAUAUUGUUUGAUUGCUUCAUAUCAAUUCUAGAAAGUUUAUUUCUUUGUGAAAUUUCAACGAAAUAUGUUUUUUAAAAUAAUAAAGGUGUUUUAAGUAAUUUUAAAAAAUAAAUGGACUAAUUAGAAUUAAUUAUUAAGUAAUUAACUCGAACUGUAGAGGAUAAGCAAACAUUUAUCCUAAUUAUAUUACGAUAAAUCAUUUUCCAACUAGAAUUAGGAAACCAUAGAUAUGCUGAUUUUGUUUUUUUAAUUUCUCUUUGCGAAAACGGAUUAGAGAACUAGAAAACAAUCCUAGUGAGACUAUUGUUAGGUUUAAAACACUGCAUAGAUGGUAAAAACAUGCGUGGUGAAUAUUUUGUCGCAUGCAAACUUUUUGUUUUAUGCAAAUCGUGCUGAACAUUGGGACUGAUGUUUAAGAAAAAAAUUCUGUAGUUAAAGAAAAACAAAAAAAUUCUGAUGUUUAUGCAAAAAUAGAUUACGAUAGUUUAUUCAAUUGGGAGUUUUUUUUUCUUUAAUUUUUGUUGUACUUGAUUGAGAUUUCUCCUUAGUCCUUACCGUCUUAAGUUUGGAUACCGUAGGAUUAGUAAUUUCGUACUUCCUUUGCAAGCUGAAUAUAAGGAUGAAAUUUUUUUAAGAAAUUAAAAAAAAAAGAUUAAAAAAAGGGCAUACCAGUAGGCAAUUAUAAAUUAACCACAAAUAAAUAUAAACAAAAUGUUUAUGAAGUAAAUUAAACAUGCACAUAUUAUUUUCUUUUAUUUUCUGCUUGGAAACCCAUAAAUACACUAAUCCAGUACUACUAAUUUCAGACCGAAAAAUUUGAACUCUAGGCUGCAGUUUGACUCAAAAUGAUGAUCACUGGCUUCGCACCAUUUAACCGGUAUACAUUUCUACAAACUGAACAAGGCUAUUGAUUAUUAUUAUUAUUAUUAUUUUAAUUUGUUUAUAAAUUACUAUUUUAAUUUUCACUUUUUAUUGGGUUGUUUAACGGAUUAGUGAAGUUGGUGGUCGUUGAUGCACUCACAAGGUACAAUUUUAUUUUAUAAUUUCAAAUUCGUAUUUUAAAAUGCAGGCACAUUAUGUAUACAUAAUUAUUGAUUUUCAUAUGUGGGUGUUUUGAAAUAUUGCCAAAAGACCAAACUUUAAUAAACUAUUUUUGAUCUUUUUUUUCCUUUUUAGCUAAAGUUUGAGUGAUAUCCGCAUUUUAAAUUCAUGUGGAACAAAAGCUAAUGUAUGCACAAAAUUCUUUUAUUUUUUCCGAGAAAAAUGGGUAAGAGAAGAAGAUUUUUCUCUUGAAAAAAGAAAAACCAAUACGAUGCAAGCAUAGGAAAGAGUUCAGUGUUUUGGAUUUGAAUUUAGUAUUGAGCUGAAUUUUAUGCUAAGCUCUUUUAUAGUACUGCUAAUAAUAAGCUCAGGAUUUGCUUUUGCUUUUACGUCAAGUAAAAGAAAGAGGAAACCUUUUGUUUUCUGUUUGAUUUUUGACUAUAUAUGUUACCUAUAUAGAGAGUUGAGGUAGCUGCCUUAAGUGAUGGUGAUAAAAAGAUUAAGCAACGCACACAAUCUUACUGUUGUCCAGACCAUCCAGUGAUGCUCUAGUUUUUUGGUUACAUUAGCUUUAGUGGAAAGAAGGGUCAAUUUAACAAAGACUAGAUUUGGUGGCUUACUAUAAUGCUUAUUCUCAGGGAAUCUAAUGUUAUAAGAUGAUUGAAUGAUCUUCUAUGAUUGUGUGUAGUACAAUAUAAUUGAAAGGAACCUGGGCUCCUAUGAUGAAUAACAGCAACACAUUACUAUGAUUGAGAAAACUCAGUUACAAUAAACUCUUCAUUUAUUCAUUGCUGAGAUUGAAUGGCAAACAGAGAAUAGAAUGAAGCAGAGGAAUCUCAUUGCCGGUAAAAUUGACCAUAUUUAAUGUUACUUGCAGUUUUUAUUGUAAAAUAUAUAGGUAUUGUCAAAGCCGGUGGUGGCCUAGCCAAAAUCAAAUUGGCUUUGGCAGCCGCCCAAAGAAAUAAACAAAAGAGAAAUAGAAGAAAAAGAGAUGAGGGAGAUGCCGCCUAAAGAAAUGAAGCACACGGCUUUGACUUGUUCUAAAAAAAAAAAAAGAGCCAAAAUUUUUUGCUAUAUAAAGUGGGCUUCCCACCCUCAUUUUUGCAUUCCAUUUAAGAGAGAGCAAUCUAGUAUUUUUUGAGAGAGAGUUUUGAGAGCUUGAAAUUAUAAGCUUUUGUUAUAGAAAUUUGAGAGUUUGGGUGUAUUGGGGUUUUGGGAAGUGGGCUAAAAUACUACAAUACUUGUAAUUUCUUUUUACUAAUAAAAUAUUUCCUUCUGUCUUCGCCCGUGGACGUAGGCUAAAAGCCGAACCACGUAAUUUCUAAUAUUCUCUUUUGUGAUUGUUUUUUAUUCUUCUUCCAAUUUUAUUUUAGCUGCAGUCCUGCUUCACCCACCAAUUUCCUAAUAGUGGUAUCAGAGCUAUUGGUUGUAUUUUUUGGAGUCGGGUACUAUUCACGUAAGGGUACUAUUCACAUAUAUGGUAUUGUUCACGUAUACGAUACUAUUCACGUGAAAUGGUGAGAGCGAUCCAAGAAUUUGGCGGUGCAAAAGUAGGGAAUAGUGGUGUGAGUAAAACAACUGUGUGGUUUUGUACAUGUCUAGGAAAGUUCUGUCAUAAAGACGAUAAGAGCUUAAGGAGUCUGGGUUUUAAGUGGGACCAUUGUGACCCCUCCAGUCUUUCUUGGAAACUUUCCUGGUGUGCAUAUUCACACAUACUCACAACUAUUUAAGGUGAUACACUAGUUUGUGUACAAUAUUUAUUAACAAAAUGGCGGCAAAGUAUGAAAUUAAGAAAUUUAACGGAAAUAAUUUUUCGUUGUGGAAAAUAAAGAUGAAAGCUGUAUUGAGGAAAAAUAAUUGCUUGGCAGCAAUUAGAGAAAGGCCUAUGGAGAUAACUGAUGACAAGUGGAACGAGAUAGAUGGCAACGCCAUUUCUGAUUUACACUUGGCGCAUGCAGACAGAGUAUUAUCCAGUCUGGCAGAGAAAAAUACAGCAAAGGAAAUAUGAGAUACACUCACAAAAUUGUACGAGGCCAAGUCACUACACAACAAAAUCUUCUUGAAGAGGAAACUCUAUACUCUUCGAAUGACGGAAUCUACAAUGGUGACUGACUACAUCAACAUCUUGAAAACUCUAUUUUCACAACUCACAGUGUUGGGUUAUAAUAUAGAGGAGAAUGAACGUGCAGAGCUUCUACUUCAAAGUCUACCAGAUUCGUAUGAUCAACUCAUCAUCAACCUGACAAACAACAAUCCAGCGGACAGUCUAGUUUUCGAUUAUGUUGCAGCCUCCGUAUUAAAUGAGGAGAGCAGGCGGAAAAAUAAGGAAAACAGCAAGCAAGUUCGCAUCAAGCGGAGACGCUAUUGGUGACGAGAGGGAGAUCAACGGAACGUGGCCCCAGUGAGAGUCAAAAUCAUGGUAGAUCAAAAUCUAGAAGUAAGAAGAAUGUUAAAUGCUACAAUUGUAGCAAGAAAGGGCACGUCAAGAAAGAAUGUUGGAGUAAUUAGAAGAGAAAAGAGGGCAAAGAACCUGAGUCAUCAAAUGCUCAGGGUUGUGUAGCAAGUACCUCGGAUGAUGGCGAAAUUCUCUACAGCGAGGCAACAACUGUUUCAGAAGGCAGAAAACGACUAUAUGAUGUUUGACUUAUAGACUCAGGAGCUACCUGGCACAUGACCUCUCGGAGAGAAUGGUUCCACACAUAUGAACCUAUCUUAGGAAGAUCUGUAUAUAUGGGUAAUGAUCAGGCCUUGGAGAUCACUAGUAUUGGUACUAUCAAAAUAAAAAUGUUUAAUGGUAUAAUUCGCACAAUUGGGGAGGUACGACAUGUCAACGGCUCUAAGAAAAAUCUUUUGUCUUUGGGACAAAUGGAUAGUCAUGGGUACAAAACUCAUGUGGAGAAUGGAAUUAUGAAGAUCGUUAAAGGCGCGCUUGUAUUGAUGAAGGCAGAAAAGAUCAAUGCUAAUCUAUUCAUGCUUAAAGGAGAAACACUACAGGAGGCUGAUGCGUGUGUUGCAUCAAAUGAAGAAGAGUCAACGAUGAUGUGGCAUCUCAAACUUGGCAACAUGUCGGAACAAGGUUUGAAGAUUCUCUCUAAGCAAAAAUUGCUUCCGGGGCUCAAAUCGGUAAAUUUACCAUUUUGCGAGCAUUGUGUUACAAGUAAGCAGCAUAGAUUAAAAUUCAAUAGAUCUAUUGCUAGAAGUAAAUGCAUUCUAGACUUGAUUCAUUCUAAUAUUUGAGAAUCACCGAAUAUAUCCAUAGGAGGUGCAAAAUACAUGGUGACUUUCAUUGAUGAUUAAUCCAGAAGAUGUUGGGUGUAUCCAAUUAAGAAAAAGUCAGAUGUAUUUUCAGUGUUUAAAGAAUACAAAGCGUGGGUGGAACUUGAAUCUGGUAAAAGGAUAAAGUGCUUGAGGAUAGAUAAUGGUGGAGAGUAUACAAAUGGCGAGUUUCUUGCUUUCUGUAAACAAGAAGGUAUCCAAAGGCAUUUCACGGUGGCAUACACUCCUCAAUAAAAUGGAGUGGCGGAGCGGAUAAACAGAACUCUUACAGAAAGAAUAAGAGCUAUGUUGAGGACUGCUAGUCUACCCAAUUUAUUCUGGGCAGAAGUAGCCAAAACUGCUUGUUAUAUAGUAAAUAGGUCGCCAUCUACAGCCAUUGGGCUGAAGACCGCGAUGGAGAUGUGGACUGGAAAGCCAGCUGAUUAUUCCUACCUACAUGCAUUUGGAUGUUCUAUGUACGUGAUGUACAAUGCCAAAAAAAAAACAAAGCUGAGUCCAAAAUCUAGAAAAUGUAUCUUCUUGGGGUAUGCUGAUGGAGUAAAGAGGUAUCGUCUAUGGGACCCCACUGCCCACAAGAUUGUCAUCAGCAGAGAUGUUAUGUUUAUAGAAGAUCAACUGCAAAGGAAAGAUAAGGAUUAUAGCAGUGUAAAAGAAAAGUCAAAGACUAUACUGGUAUAUGUGGAAAAUAAUCCAGAAGAUUCAGAUUCUUCUGAAGCAGCACCAGAGCACGAGGAAUGAGAACCAGUCGAGUCUGGGGCUCCAGAAGUUCGUCGGUCAACUCGUGAGAGAUGAUCGCCAACGUGGCACUCGGAGUAUGUCAUAGAGAUCAAUGUUGCAUACUAUCUUCUAAUAGAAGAUGGAGAGCCUUCAACUUUCUAUGAAGCUUUAAACAGCUCAGAUGUUGCUUUGUGGAUGACAGCAAUGCAGGAAGAAAUUGAAGCUCUACAUAAGAACAAGACAUGGGAACUUGUACCACUACUACACGGAAGAAAAGCCAUUGGAAACAAAUAGGUCUACAAGAUCAAGCGUAAUGGCAAUGACCAAGUGGAGCGGUUUCGUGCAAGAUUGGUAGUGAAAUGAUAUGCUCAAAAAGAAGGUAUUGACUUCAAUAAGAUAUUUUCGCCGAUAGUUCGACUCACAACAGUCAGAAUAAUCUUGGCAAUGUGUGCUACAUUUGACCUACAUCUAGAGCAGUUAGAUGUGAAAACUGCAUUUCUUCAUGAAGAACUUGAAGAAGAAAUAUAUGUGCUCCAACCAGAAGGUUUUAUAGAAACAGGAAAGGAAAACUUGGUUUGCAGGUUGAACAAAUCUCUAUAUGGUCUCAAACAGGCGUCGAGGUGUUGGUAUAAGAGAUUCGAUUCCUUCAUCAUGAGCCUUGGAUACAACAGAGUAAGUUCAGACCAUUGUACAUAUUAAAAAAGGUUUGAAGAUAAUGAUUUUAUUAUUUUAUUGUUGUACGUGGAUGACAUGUUGGUAGCAGGCCCCAACAAAGAUCGAGUCCAAGCAUUGAAGGCACAGUUGGCUAGGGAGUUUGAAAUGAAGGAUUUGGGACCAGCAAACAAGAUUCUAGGGAUGCAAAUUCACCGAGACAGAAAUAGCAGGAAGAUUUGGCUUUCGCAGAAGAAUUACUUGAAGAAAAUCUUGCAGCGCUUCAACAUGCAAGAUUGUAAGUCAAUUUCUACCCCACUUCCUGUUAAUUUCAAAUUAUCCUCAAGUAUGUGUCCUAGCAAUGAAGGAGAGAGGAAGGAGAUAUCUCGAGUACCGUAUGCAUCAGCAGUUGGAAGUUUGAUGUUUGCUAUGAUAUGUACAAGACCAGACAUUGCACAAGCAGUGGGAGCAGUCAGUCGAUACAUGGCCAAUCCCGGUGGAGAGCAUUGGAUAGCUGUGAAGAAGAUUCUGAGAUACAUCAGACGAACCUCAGAUGUUGCAUUAUGUUAUGGAGGAUCAGAGUUUACUGUCAGGGGCUAUGUGGAUUCAGAUUUUGUAGGAGACCUUGAGAAAAGAAAAUCUACUACUAGUUAUGUGUUCACACUUGCGGUAGCAGCUGUAAGCUAGGUUUCGAAACUGCAGACCGUUGUGGCUUUAUCUACAACAGAAGCAGAAUACAUGGCAGCUACACAAGCUUGCAAGGAAGCUAUUUGGACACAAAGAUUAUUGGAGGAGCAUGGGCACAAACAACAGAAAAUUCAUGUGUUUUGUGACAGUCAGAGUGCCUUGCACAUUGCAAGGAAUCCAGUCCUUCAUUCCAGGACAAAGCACAUAGGAGUUCAGUAUAACGCCGUUCGAGAAAUAGUGGAAGACGGAAAUGUGGAUUUACAGAAAAUCCAUACGAAGGAGAACCGAGCAGAUGUUUUGACCAAGCCGAUAAAUACUGAUAAGUUUGUUUGGAGUAGAUCCUCUUGUGGCCUAGCAGAAACGUAGGCAAUAUGAUUAUGGCGAAGCAGAAAAGAUGGUGUGGAGAUUGAUUGAUUUUCAGUCAAAUCUCCAAGUGGGAGAAAUAUCAAAGCCGGUGGUAGCCUAGCCAAAAUCAAAUUGGCUUUGGCAACCACCCAAAGAAAUAAACAUGGCUUUGGCAGCCACCUAAAGAAAUAAACAAAAGAGAAACAGAAGAAAAAGAGAUGAGGGAGGUGCCGCCCAAAGAAAUGAAGCACACGGCUUUGACUUGUUCUAAAAAAAAAAAAAAGAGCCAAAAUUUUUUUCUAUAUAAAGAGGGCUUCCCACCCUCAUUUUUGCAUUCUAUUUAAGAGAGAACAAUCUAGUAUUUUUUGAGAGAAAGAGUUUAGAGAGCUUGAAAUUAUAAGCUCUUGUUAUAGAAAUUUGAUAGUUUGGGUGUAUUGGGGUUUUGGGAAGUGGGCUAAAAUAUUACAAUACUUGUAACUCCUUUUACUAGUAAAAUAUUUCCUUCUGUCUUCGCCCGUGGAUGUAGGCUAAAAGCCGAACCACGUAAUUUCUGAUAUUCUCUUUUGUGCUUGUUCUUUAUUUUUUUUCCAAUUUUAUUUUAGCUGCAGUCCUGCUUCACCUACCAAUUUUCAAAAAGGUAUGACCAUGGUCAUUGCAGUUAGGUUUUGAUGAUUUCAGAUGCUUUUUUAAAAAAAAAUUGUGACUGACGAUUACAAUCAUUACAGCAAUGCUGAUGAGUGAUACAUCACUUGAAAUUUACUUGUCAGUUGCUGAAAUGAUGAAAAAAGACCAUAAACAAUAAGAUUAAUAAUGUUCUCUUGCUGAAUUCUAAUUUUGACUUUCAACUCUUGGUUUUUAUGGAAAGUAAAAUGACUUGUAUAUUGUUUAGAAACUCGAAUCUAACCAGUAACAAACUCGAAUCUAUCAUUAUCUAAACAAAAAACCAAGAGUUUCUAACCAGUAACAAACAAAGCAAUCUUAGUCUUUCAUGGAGCGGAACCUUAGUCUCAGUAUGAUCACUGUCUCAUUAACCCACUGCCUGCUUCUUUGCUUGGUUGUUGCAGCAACAGCAGCAGCAAGCAACAAUAUUAUCACAUACCAACAAGCUCUUCUUGCCCUGAAAGAUCAUAUCACUUAUGAUCCAACCAACCUUUUUGCCCAUAAUUGAACCUCGAAUACCUCUGUUUGUACCUGGAUUGGCAUCACUUGUGAUGUCAAUAGCCAUAGAGUCACAACCUUAGAUAUUUCUCAAUUCAAUCUACAAGGCACCAUCCCUCAACUUGGAAACCUCUCUUCACUCACAACACUUAAUUUUAGUCAUAAUAAGCUUUCUGGAAACGUUCCCUCCUCCAUCUACACCAUGCAUACGCUAAAAUUAUUAUAAGUGAAUAUGAAAUAGUUCACUCAAAGCAAGGAUAAAUGGAUGAAAGUACUACUCAUUUUAUUCACAAUGAGGUUGCCUUUUAUAGGCGUUACAUGAACAAACUUAAUGAAAUAAUAGCAGCUAUUAUUCAGCAAAUACUGCAGCCACUUUCCAGUAACUAUAGCCUAAAGACUAGGUAAACACAAUCUUGCAAAUAACAUUACCAACAAACUUCCUAAAGACUAGGACCAUAAAAGCAACUUAUUGACAUAAGGAAAUUCCAACAAUCCCUCCCUUAAACUAAAUGUUAUUAACAUUCAGUUUAAACAUUCUGCAGAAUCUUCCUCAAAUUGCAAUUUGCAAACUCCAAGUGACUUUCUCAACUUAAAAAAACUAGCCAAUUUGAGGGGUUUAGUAAAGAUGUCAGCAACUUGGUCUUCACUCUUGCAAUAAACAAGAUCAAUGACUUCAUUUUUUGUCAAGUCUCACAAGAAAUGAUAUCUCACAUCUAUGUGCUUGCAUCUUCCAUGUAGAACCGGAUUCUUUGAAAGUUUAAUUGUUGAACUAUUAUCACAGAAGAUUUGUGUUGACUUUGGUUGCUUAAACUGAAGUUCAUGAAGAAUAUUUCUUAGCCAAAGUGCUUGACAUGCACAAGAAGCUGCUGCAACAAACUCAGCUUCAGUUGUUGACAAAGUAACUAUCGGUUGCUUCUUAGAUGACCAUGAAAUAGCUGCUGAACCAAACAUAAAUACAUAUCCAGAUGUGCUUCUUCUGUCAUCCAAAUCUCCAGCAUAAUCAGUGUCUAUAAAGCCAUACAAAUUUGAUUUUUUACCCUUUUUAUAGAACAACCCAAAUUCAGCUGUACCACGCAAGUAUCGAAGAAUUCUUUUUGCAGCUAAAAGAUGAUCCUCUCUUGGACGCUCCAUAUAUCUGCUGAUGGAACUAACUGCAUGCAUUAUAUCAGGUCGAGUUGCCGUUAAGUACAUCAAGCUUCCAACAAUCUGUUUGUAAAGGGUACUAUCAAGCAGGAUCCUUAACAAACUUCAAUCCUUUUUCAAUUGGAGUAGUGACAGAGUUGCAGUUCUUCAUUUGAAAUCUUUCUAAGAUCUCUUUCACAUAUUUCUUUUGACAAAUAAAAUUUCCAGCAUCAGAUUGUAUGACUUCUAAGCCAAGAAAAUAAUGCAGCAAACCAACAUCAGUCAUAUCAAAUUCAAGCAUCAUGGAUUCCUUGAAUUUCUCAAACAUUACUCUGUCAUUUCCCGUGUAAAUCAAAUCAUCUACAUAUAAACAUACCAUAAGCAUUUUCCCAUCAUCUCCAAUUUUUAUGUACAGAGUAUGCUCAUAUGGGCAUUUUCGAAAACCUUCCUCCAAGAAAUAAGCAUCUAUAUGACUAUACCAAGCUCGGGGUGCUUGUUUUAGUCCAUAUAGAGCUUUUUUCAAUUUAUAGACUUUAUGCUCACUGCCUAAUUUCACAUAUCUAGGAGGUUGUUCGAUAAAUACCUCUUCUUGUAGCUCCCUAUGCAAGAAUGCUGAUUUCACGUCCAGUUGAAAAACAGGCCAUGAAUUUUGUGCUGCAAGAGCAAUAAUCAAUCUGAUCGUUUCAAGUCUUGCAACGAGAGAAAAUACUUCUUUAUAAUCCGCGCCGAACUCUUGCUUGUAGCCUUUGGCGACUAGGAGUGCCUUGUAUUUAUCAAUUUCACCAUUUUCCUUCAAUUUUGUCUUGUAAACCCACUUGACUCCUAUUGUCCUCUGCCCCAUUGGAAGUUCAGUCAACUCCCAAGUAUUAUUUUUUUCAAUGGAUGCAAUUUCUUCGUCCAUGGAUUUUAGCCAUUUUUGUUCUUUGACAGCUUCUUUAAAAGUUGUAGGAUCACAUUCUGAAAACAAGGCAAAGUGUAUGAGUGGAUUCUCAAGAGUGUUAAAUCUUGUUACCUCAUAAUCUGACAUCCAUGCAGGCCUUCUUCUAUCACGUUGAGAACGUGAAUCUGUAGCUUCAACUUGUUCAUUAAGUUCAUUUGUUGCUGGUGGAGUUUCUACUGAGACUCUAUUUUGCGGCAGGUCAGGAGCAGAGACUGUUGAAGGCUGAAGUUGCUGUGAAUUUUCUUCAAUUUCACCAUCGAAAUCUGCUGGAAUUUGCUGCCCAAUAGAACUGCAUCUCCACAUCCAUGUCUUCUCUUCAUAAAAAAUGACAUCACGACUAAUGACAAUUUUCUUGAUGAUGGGAUCAUAUAAUUUGUAGGCCUUUGAAUGAUCACUAACACUAAGAAAACUGCACUUUACACCUUUGUCAUCUAAUUUUCUUCUUUUCUCAUCUGGUAUGUGGACAUAUGCUAUACAUCCAAAUACCCGAAAGUGAUCUACUGCCGGCUUACAUCCACUCCAUGCUUCUUCAGGAGUUAUAUUUUGAACAGCUAUUGUGGGGCUUCUGUUCAAAAUAUAAACACUCCAAACAACUGCUUCAGGCCAAAAACUUUUGGGAAGACCACUCCUCCGCAGAAGGCUUCGUACCAUAUUAAGAAUUGUACGAUUUUUCCUCUCGCAUACACCAUUUUGCUGAGGUGUGUAGGCUGUUGUCAAUUGUCUUCUAAUUCCAUGAUUUUUGCAAAAGCUUCCAAAUUCUUGAGAGUUGAACUCUCCACCACGAUCAGUACGCAAUAUUUUAAUUUGGCUGUCAGCUUCUCUUUCAACUAAUGCUUUAAACAUUUAAAAGGCUGUGAAAACUUCCGAUUUUUCUUGCAAGAAAUAAACCCAGGUUUUUCAACUAAAAUCAUCAAUAAUUGAGAUAAAAUAUCGUUUACCUCCAUUUGAUGUUGGCUUGAUUGGCCCACAUAAGUCUGAAUGCACUAGCUCCAGCACUUUCUUUGCCCUCCGGGAUUUUCCUUUUGGAAAAUUAUCUCGAUGUUGCUUACUGACAAUACACUCUUCGCAAAGCUGUGAAGGUUGCUCAAAUUUCUAGACUUCACGGAUAACCAGCUCUCUGGUUCAGUGUCUUCCUUCGUCUUCAACAUGUCUUCAAUAUUAGACAUUCGUUUGACUAAUAACAGACUCUGGUGAGCUUCCGAAAAAUAUUUGCAACUAUAUUCCUUAUUUGAAAGCCCUUUCUUUAGACAAAAACAUGUUUCAUGGCAAAAUUCCUUAUGCUUUAUCAAAGUGCAAACAACUGCAACAAUUAAAUUUGCAGUUCAAUAAUUUAUCCGGUGCAAUACCGAAAGAAAUCGGCAACUUGACUAUGCUCAAAGGGAUAUAUCUCGGCUACAACAAACUCCACGGUAUGCUCAUAAUACUAUACAAAUAUUAUCUUUCUUGAAUACUUUAGAUAAGAUCUUGUAUGUGAGAUUUUUUUGCAUCUAUAUUAAUUUUCCAGGUGAGAUACCGCACGAAAUCGCUAAUCUUCGAAAUCUAGAGGCUUUAGCGCUUGGAAUGAACAACCUAGUUGGUGUGGUAUCAGCUCCAAUAUUCAACAUGUCAACAUUGAAGAUAAUUAUCCUCAUAAAUAACUCCCUCUUCGGAAGUCUUCCAUCAAGAAUAGGCCUUUCACUUCCAACUGUUGAGCAUCUUAACUUGGAACUUAAUAGAUUUUCUGGAACCAUUCCUAGUUCCAUCACCAAUGCUUCUAAGCUCACCCUUCUAAAGUUGGGAGGAAACACAUUUUCGGGCCUUAUUCCGGACACAAUUGGUAAUUUAAGAAACCUUGAGUGGCUCGGCUUGGCUUAUAACAACUUGACAUCUUCAACCUCAAAAUUGAGCUUUCUUUCCUCUUUGGCAAAUUGCAUGAAAUUAAGAUCCUUAAACUUAAUAGGCAAUCCACUUGACGGCUUCCUUCCAAGUUCAAUAGGUAAUCUUUCUAUGUCCUUGGAAACACUUCUCAUCACCAAUUGCAGUAUUAGUGGCAACAUUCCUCAAGCAAUUUCAACCAAAUAUCUUUUUCAAAAUAAUUAGGGUGUUUUAAGCAAUUUGAAAAAUAAAUGGAGUAAUUAAAAUUAUUUAGUAGGUAAUUAACUUGAACGGUAGAGGGUAAGCGAACAUUUAUCCCAAUUAUAUUAUGAGAAAUCCUUUUCCGAUUAGAAUUAGGAAACCGAGGUAUACUGAUUUUUUUGUUUUUUUAAUUUCCCUAUGCGAAAACGGAUUAGAGAAUAAGAAAACAAUCCUAGUGAUAUUAUUGUUAGGUUUAAAACACUGCAUAGAUAGUAAAAAGCGAACUAGUCUGUAGAGUAAUUUGUUAAUUGCUAUCGCCUCUCCAUGCAUGGUGAAUAAUUUGUUGCAUGCAAACUUUUUAUGUAUAAGAAAAAAAUUCUGUAGUUUAAGAAAAACAAAAAGGCAUGUUGAAUAGAUUACAAUAGUUUAAGGAAAAAAAUUAUUCAAUUGGGAAUUUUUUUUUCUUUAAUUUUUGUUGUACUUGAUUGAGAUUUCUCCUUAUUCCUUACAGUUUUAAGUUUGGAUACCGUAGGAUUAGUAAUUUCGUACUUCCUUUGCAAGCUGAGUAUAAGGAAGAAAUUCUUUUAAGAAAUUAAAAAAGAUAAAAAAAAGGCAUACCAGUAGGCAAUUAUAAAUAACCACAAAUAAAUAUAAACAAAAUGUUUAUGAAGUAAAUUAAACAUGCACAUAUUAUUUUCUUUUAUUUUCUGCUUGGAAACCCAUAAAUACACUAAUCCAGUACUACUAAUUUCAAACAGAAAAAUUUGAACUCUGGGCUGCAGUUUGACUCAAAAUGAUGAUCACUGGCUUCGCACCAUUUAACCGGUAUACAUUUCUACAAACUGAACAAGGCUAUUGAUUAUUAUUAUUAUUUUAAUUUGUUUAUAAAUUACUACUUUAAUUUUCACUUUUUAUUGGGUUGUUUAACGGAUUGGUGAAGUUGGUGGUCGUUGAUGCACUCACAAUGUACAAUUUUAUUUUAUAAUUUCAAAUUGGUAUUUUAAAAUGCAGGUACAUUGUGUAUACAUAAUUAUUGAUUUUCGAAUGAGGGUGUUUUGAAAUAUUGCUAAAAGACCAAACUUUAAUAAACUAUUUUUGAUCUUUUUUUUCUUCCUAAAGUUUGGGUGAUAUGCGCAUUUUAAAUUCAUGUGUAACAAAAGUUAAUGUAUGUAUAAAAAUUCUUUUAUUUUACUGAGCAAAAUAGGCAAGCGAAAAAGUUUUGGCAAAUGAGUUGCAACUGAAUUCAAAACCAAUACAAUGCGAGCAUAGGAAAGAGGUCAGUGUUCAGGAUUUGAAUUUAGUAUUAAGCUGAAUUUUAUGGUAAGCUCUUUUAUAGUACUGUAAUUAGUAAGCUAAGCCCCGGAUUUGCUUUUGCUUUUGCUUUUACUUCAAGUGAAAGAAAGAGGAAACCUUUUGUUUUUUCUUUGGUUUUCAACUAUGUUACCUAUACAGAGAGUCAAGAUACCUGCCAUAAGUGAUGGUGUUAAAAAGAUUAAGCAGAGCACACAAUCUUACUGUCGUCUAGACCAUCCAGUGAUGACUCUAGUCUUUUGGUUACGUUAGUUUUAGUUGAAAGAAGGGCCAAUUUAACAAAGACUAGAUUUGAUGGCUCACUAUGUUUAAUGUAAUGCUAAUUCUCAGGGAAUCUAAUGUUAUAACUUAUAAGAUGAUCUCCUAUGUUGAAUAACAGUAACACAUUACUGUGAUUGAGAGAACACAGUUACAAUAAACUCUUCCUUUACUCAUUGCGGAGAUUUAAUAGCAAACAGAGAAUAGAAUGAAGCAGAGGAAUCUCAUUGCCAGUAAAAUUGACCCUCUUUAUUAUUAUAUGGCACAGGUGUGGAGGAAGAACAAGUUACUUGCAGUUUUUAUUGUAAAAUAUACAGGUAUGACCAUGAUCAUUAUAGUUAGGUUUUGAUGAUUUCAGAUGCUUUUUUUUUUUAAAAAAAAAUUGUGACAUCUUUGAUUUACGGUAGUUUUGCAGAAAAAAAUAUCUAAAAAUUAAGAGGGAUGAGUUAACUGACGAUUACAAUCAUUACAACAAUGCUGAUGAGUGAUACAUCACUUGAAAUUUACUUGUCAGUUGCUGAAAUGAUGGAAAAAAACAAUAAACGAUAACAAUAAUAAUGUUCCCUUGCUGAAAUUCAAUUUUGACUUUCGACUCUUGGCUUUUAUGGAAAGUAAAAUGACUUGUACAUUAUACUCAUACAAUCCACUCUACAUAAUGAUAUCAUUUUAAUAAGGCAAUGGCUGAUGAUCUCCAUUGAAAAACUACUUCAAUUUUUUUGCUUUAUUUAACUUUUUGGUUGUUGAAAAUAACCUUAAUUAUCAAAUAUUUGGAGAAAGACAAAGGGUGCUUGCAGAAGUGGCAAUAUAUAUAUAUAUAUAAAAGGAGAAGUUGAAGAGAAAGGGUGCUUGCAGAAGUGGGUGUCAAAGAUAAAUCGGUCCAUAAGAAUUAUUACGGUUAUUUUUUGGCAAUAUAAAAAUUUUUUAGCAAAUAAAAAUUAAUUUUUUUCCAAUUUACUAAAAAAUUAAUUAAAAACUUCUGCGAUGGCAUUUUUUAUGGGUGCAUAUACCCUCCCUUUAAAAGAAAAAAUAAUAAUUAAUACUUAAUAUAGUAUUAAAUACGAAAAUAUCAAUAUUUGACUACUCAAAUUUAUAUCAAUAGGUCCUUAAAAUUUAAAAUUGAAGAUACAAGAGGAAAUAUAUAUAAAUUUAAUUCUCAUCGGAAAGGAUCCUCUUAUAAUUUUAUAUAUUUGAGCUUUGAAAGAUUUUUUGAAACAAAUGUACUUUUAUUUAUGUACAAUCAAUAUUUACUUAUUCAUUAUAUAUUUAUUUACUAACUAUCAAUCAUGUUAAUAUAUUUAGUCAGAAAAAUCAUAUCAAGAAAAAAUCAUGAUCCCACGCACAGAUAAAUACGUUAAUUUCUAUACUAUUCACUUACCUGUGUAAUCAAUUAUCUAAAAUGCAAGUUUGUGGCUACGGAAAACUCUCCAAAGAAAGAAGAUAAUAACAAUUGAGCAUUGAUAGCAAAACUAAUGCAUCAUUUUCUUCUUGACUUGAUGAGAUGACGCCAUGAUGUAAAAACAAGUACCUAAAUUGACCGGCAUUGAGUGAUGUGAAUACUACCAGCCGGUUCAUCUCUUCCAGUCUUGCUUAGUUACAAUCACAAACACCACGAGAUCGACAUUUGCAUUAUAUAUAUCUUCAGCAGUCGAAACACCUUGCAUUACCAAUAAACCAGUAACAAACAAAGCAAUCUUUCAUGGAGAGAAACCUUAGUCUCAGUAUGAUCACUGUGUCAUUAACCCACUGCCUGCUUCUUUGCUUGGUUGUUGCAGCAGCAGCAGCAGCAAGCAGCAAUAUUCCCACAGACCAACAAGCUCUUCUUGCCCUGAAAGAUCAUAUAAUUUAUGAUCCGACCAACCUUUUAGCCCAUAAUUGGACCUCGAAUACCUCUGUUUGUACCUGGAUUGGCAUCACUUGUGAUGUCAAUAGCCAUAGAGUCACAACCUUAGAUAUUUCUCAAUUCAAUCUACAAGGCACCAUCCCUCCUCAACUUGGAAACCUCUCUUCACUCACAACACUUAAUCUUAGUCAUAAUAAGCUUUCUGGAAGCAUUCCCCCUCCAUCUACACCAUGCAUACGCUAAAAUUUCUAGACUCCACUGAUAACCAGCUCUCUGGUUCAGUGUCUUCCUUCGUCUUCAACAUGACUUCAAUAUUCGACAUUCGUUUGACCAAUAACAGACUUUCCGGUGAGCUUCCGAAAAAUAUUUGCAAUUACCUUCCUCAUUUGAAAGCCCUUUUUUUGGACAAAAACAUGUUUCAUGGAAAAAUUCCUUCUGCUUUAUCAAAGUGCAAACAACUGCAACAAUUAAAUUUGCAUUCCAAUAAUUUAUCCGGGGCAAUACCAAAAGAAAUCGGCAACUUGACUAUGCUCAAAGGGAUAGACCUCGGCUACAACAAACUCCACGGUAUGUUCAUAAUACUAUCUAAAUAUUUUAAUUUAUCACUUGUUAAUUUUCUUGAAUACCUUAGAUAAGAUCUUGUAAGUGAGAUUUUUUGCAUCUAUGUUAAUUUACCAGGUGAGAUACCACACGAAAUCGCUAAUCUUCGAAAUCUAGAGGCUUUAGUGCUUGGAAUGAACAACCUAGUUGGUAUGGUAUCAGCUACAAUCUUCAACAUGUCAACAGUGAAGGUGAUUAUCCUCAUAAAUAACUCUCUCUCUGGAAGUCUUCCAUCAAGAAUGGACCUUUCACUUCCAACUAUUGAGCAUCUUAACUUGGCACUUAAUAGAUUUUCUGGAACCAUUCCUAGUUCUAUCACCAAUGCUUCUAAGCUCACCUUUCUAGAGUUGGGAGGAAACACAUUUUCGGGCUUUAUUCCAAACACAUUUGGUAAUUUAAGAAACCUUGAGCUGCUCGACUUGGCUAAUAACUACUUGACAUCUUCAACCUCAAAAUUGAGCUUCCUUUCCUCUUUGGCAAAUUGCAAGAAAUUAAGAACCUUAAGAUUAAGUGGCAAUCCACUUGACGGCGUCCUUCCAAGUUCAAUAGGAAAUCUUUCUAAGUCUUUGGAAACACUUGUCAUCGUCAAUUGCAGUAUUAGUGGCAACAUUCCUCGAGCAAUUGGCAAUUUAAGCAACUUGUUGGCCUUAGUAUUAGAAGCCAAUAAAUUGACUGGACCAAUUCCAAUUACAUUCGGCCGACUACAGAAACUCCAAGGCUUAGAUCUUGCAUUCAAUAAGUUGGUAGGUUCAUUCCCAGAUGAGCUUUGCCAUCUAGCUAGGCUGGCUGAAUUGGUCUUAUUUGGCAAUAAGCUUUCAGGAUCUAUACCUUCAUGCCUAAGUAAUCUCACUUCUCUAAGAUCUCUCUACUUAGGGUCCAAUAGGUUUACUUCUGUUAUUCCCUCAACUUUCUGGAGCCUAAAAGACAUCUUGUUCUUUGACUUUUCAUCAAAUUUCUUGGUUGGUCCUCUUUCUUUAGACAUAGGAAAUUUGAAGGUGCUUGUAAGAAUAAAUUUAUCAAAAAAUAACUUAUCCGGUGAUAUCCCAGCCACAAUUGGAGGACUGAAAGAUCUUCAAUUUAUGGACGUAGCAUAUAAUAGAUUGGAAGGCCCAAUUCCUGAAUCAUUUGGUGACUUGACAAGUUUGGAGGUUUUGAAUUUGUCAAAAAAUAAAAUCUCUGGGUCUAUUCCAACAUCCAUGGAGAAACUCUUUUACCUCCGAGAGUUAAAUCUCUCUUUCAAUGAACUAGAAGGUGAGAUUCCCAGUGGAGGAAUUUUUGCCAACUUCACAGCUGAGUCAUUUAUGGGAAAUGAGUUAUUGUGUGGUUUACCAAGUCUUCAAGUCCAACCAUGCAAAGUUAGCAAGCCGAGGACAGAACAUAAAUCAAGGAAAAAGAUACUUCUCAUUGUGAUUGUUUUGCCAUUGAGUAUUGCUCUAACAAUAGCAAUCACACUAGCUCUCAAAUCUAAGCUGAUCGAAUGUGGAAAAAGAAGCACAGUGUUGUCAAAUGAUAGUGUCUUGUCAUCACAAGCAACACUAAGAAGAUUUUCAUACUUAGAACUUUUACAAGCAACAGAUAAUUUUGCUGAAAACAACGUAAUUGGCAUUGGAGGUUUUGGUUCUGUUUAUAGAGCAAGACUUGAAGAUGGGAUGAAGAUUGCAAUAAAAGUGUUUCACCAGCAAUGUGCAAGCGCAUUGAAGAGUUUUGAGGCUGAAUGUGAAGUGUUAAAAAAUAUUCGCCAUCGAAAUCUUCUCAAAGUUAUCAGCAGUUAUUCAAACAAUGACUUCAAAGCAUUAGUCCUAGAAUACAUGUCCAACGGGAGCUUGGGGGAUUGGCUGCAUUCUAGCAAUUAUAUGCUGAAUAUAUUUCAAAGGUUGAACAUAAUGAUUGACGUUGCAUCAGCUUUAGAAUAUCUCCACUUCGAUCAUUCAACUCCUAUCAUUCACUGUGACUUAAAGCCUAGUAAUGUAUUGUUGGACGAAAAUAUGGUUGCUCAUUUGAGUGAUUUUGGCAUAGCAAAGCUUUUAAGUGGAGAGGAUGAGUAUUUGAUGCGAACAAAAACCCUUGCCACUAUAGGUUAUAUGGCACCAGGUUUGCUUCAAACAAUUGUUUUUUUUUAAGUUCAUUUUAAAUUUUCCAAAUCAUUGAUUUUUACGAUCCUCACAUCAAAAUUUUCUUGAUUAUUUAUCUAAUUGUGAAAUUAAUUUUAUUCAUAGAGUACGGCAUAGAAGGAGAAGUAUCUACAAAAAGUGAUGUUUACAGCUAUGGGAUUAUGUUGAUGGAAACUUUUACUAAGAAAAACCCCACAGAUGAAAUUUUUGUUGGAGAAUUGAGCUUAAAGCGUUGGGUUAAUGACUUGCUUCCUACUUCAUUAGUGGAAGUUGUGGACAAAACUCUGCUAAGUGGAGAGGAAAAACAUUCUGCAGUAAAGGAGCAAUGUCUGUUGUCUAUCUUUAGUUUGGCUCUGGAGUGUACAAUGGAAUCACCGGAAAAGAGGAUUAAUGCAAAAGAUGUUGUUACCAGAUUACUCAAGAUAAGAGACACAUUGAGUAAAAGGAUAGGAAACUGAAGUUAAUUUCGUUUGCUUUCAUUGAUAGUUAAUUCAAAUUCAUGUAAUAAGUGUAAGAAUCUUAUAUCCUUUCCUUUGAUUUUUUUUUUUUUUUGAGAAAACUGUUGUAGUCAUCUUGUUUCACUGCCCCCAAUGCUUUGGACACCUACUGGUAGGUUUGUACGUGUCCUCAACUUUUUUUAGGAGCACAAAAUUCGAGUCCCAUGGAGACUCAAACAUUCCUUUCCCACAUCCCGAGCACGCUAAGUUCGAGUGAAAGAGAUUAAUUUACGGAAACUAAAGCCAAGAGAAUAAAGGACAACACUUAUGUGAAGCGACAUAAAUGUAUUGAUAGCACAAUGUCAAAUUCAUACAGAGAUCUAGUAUACUAUUUACAGCCGGUAAGGGCUAAGAAUUGAUGUAGCUAGAAUACAAAGACGAUAAGGUAUGUUGUGCACUAUUGUUUUAUUCUACGAUCAAUCUUGACCCUUGAUGCUUGGCUCUCAAUCUUGUCCAUUGAUCUUCUUUGAUUUUGUACACUUCAAGACCUUUCAGUAUCAUUCCUUGUUGUUGGUGUCUUCCGUGCUGUAGAAUUCAUAUACAAGCCUUCCCGCCGACUUGCGAAGUAUUCGUUCAUUGAUGCAUUUUUAUCAAACAGUUGGCCGACUUGCCAAGUAUCAUGCCUUGUUAUAGGUAGGCUUGGUAGGAUUAUGGGUCGGUCGGUAGAUGUACAUGUGUUAAAGCUUUUGAAUUUAUGCCAAUUGAAAAUAAAAAAGAAUCUACAUAAAUUUUCAACGAGGCUAUUACCACAAUAAGCAUUUGGAUGAAUUAUUAUUGAAUCCUUUCUGAGAAGUAGGACAUGUCAGACAUCAAAGCACUGAGAUAUCUUCAAAUAGUGGUAACCCCCACGCAACAAGGCACAAUAAAUUAUACAGAUAAAAUCCUUCACUCUUUCGUAAUCAUCAGUGUAGGCACGGUGAUGCGUCAGACAGAUAUGGGUCGGAUCCACUCCAGCUCCAUAUCAAGAUUCAUAAACCAUGACAAAAAUAGAGAAUCAUAGGUGUUGCAGAUAGUGAUGGUUGUUGAUGCACUCGUGAUUUAAAAUUUUAUUUUAUAUCUUCAAGUUCGCAUUUUAAGUGUCCUUUUUUUUAAUUUUUUAUUGUGAUCAUUAUAACUUGUCAAAUCUAUUUUUAAAUAAUUUUUUAAAAAUAUUUUAUUAACAAUGAUAUGAAAAUAUUCGAACACCUUUUCAUAGUAAAGUGAAUUAUUAUCCGACGAUCCAACUCAUGUUUUCAAAUUGUAAAUUGCAAAUCGUGUGUUUGCUCCAUUACAGAGUUUCAUCAAUUUGAAAUAGAGAAUCAUUUGUGUUCUAGAUUAAUCGAGGGUCUAUAUCCAAAUCUAAAAAUUGACUAACUUGGUUUCUAUUAAAUUCUUAAUCCUAACAAGAAAAAUAGAAGAUUAAAAAUGACUAAUUUGGUUUCUAUUAAUUUGAGUAACGAUCGAAUUACCUAAUUUAUUAAGAUUUAUCAAAAUCCUAUGUCAAAAUCCAUUAAUGAUAUAGGUUCAAUGACGAAAUAGUCACUUGUUAUUAUUUUUGACUUCAUAAAUAGAUGAACGGAUGUUAUUUUUGGAUUCUGGAGAAUCGAAAAUAUCAGGAUAGGUGAUAAAUGGAAUUAAGUUGUAGAUAAGAUAGAAAUGGAUUUGGAGAGAGAUUGGAAUCCUGGGUAAUCCGGAGUACGUUGUUGUGUUGAAUGCUCGUUGACUUCACGUUGACUGAAACAUUAUUGGAAGAAGUGAGCAAGCUUAUUUUCUUCUCUCAUUUUUUAAAUUUGUCUUAAGUUUAUUGAUGUGAGGCCUUUGAGAUUGUAAGUUUCAAAUCUGAGAAGAAUAACCACACACCCAUUAUCCUAUUACUCUUAUUUUAUCACAUGAAGAGAAUUCGAAGUUUGAUAAAUUUGUGAGGAUUGUGAGGGUUGAUGCAAUAUAAUUUAGAUGCAAAGUGUUUACAAGUACGAUGCUUCAUAAGUGUUCUUGAAUCAUUAUAAACUCACGUUAUUUUUAUAAUGAUUGUUUCAUCUGCACAUGGAUAUAAUCAUAUGUUGAGAUUUUUUCCUAAAUUAUGGUCUUAUUUGGUAUUGAGGUGUUAGAUCUUUUAAGUUACAAUUACUAUUGGAAAAAAAAGUGCAACUAUGAAAUAAAAGUUAAUAUUGUGUACUAAAUAUAAUUGUUAAAUAAUAAUUUUGACAAAAUUAGUGAAGAUAUAUAGGUUUUUUUUUAAUCAUCUAAGUGUAAAAUCAAAUCAACUUAACUUCUAAACUAUAUAGCAGCUACUGUUUACCAAAUACUUUAGUACUGUAACUUUUAAGUUAUAGCUGCCUAACCUCAGUCUCAAACAAUGGCUAUAAAGAUCAAAGAUUUCCUCAUAAAAAUUAUACGUCUUGUGAUUGCUUAUUUAAUUUAUAUUUUUUUAUUUAUCUUUAUUAAUUACAGUCAUCUUUUAAUAAAUUACAAUUGCAGGAAGUUGAUGUUCGAAGUGCUUAUGUCGACUCAAAGUUGUUGGGAAUUAAUGCAUGUAUUGAUUUAUUGGGAGUGUUUAAAUGAUUUUGUGAUUUACUUGAUUGAUUGAUUGAAUAAUGUUUGAUUGCUUCAUAUCCGUUCUAGAAAGUUUAUUUCUUUGUGAAAUUUCAAUGAAAUAUGUUUUUUUAAAUUAUAAGGGUUUUUUAAGUAAUUUUAAAAAUAAAUGAACUAAUAAGGAUUAAUUAUUAGGUAAUUAACUUGAACUAUACAGGGUAAGCGAACAUGUAUCCUAAUUAUAUCAUGAUAAAUCCUUUUCCGAUCAGAAUUAGGAAACCAUAAGUAUAUUGAUUUUUUUUUCCAAUUCUCCUUUGCGAAAACGGAUUACAGAAUUAGAAAACAAUCCUAAUGAUAUUAUUGUUAGGUUUAAAACACUGCAUAGAUAGUAAAAAGCUAACUAGUUCGUAGAGUAAUUUGUUAAUUGCUAUCGCCUCUGCCUGCGCGGUGAAUAAUUUGUUGCAUGCAAAUUUUUUAUUUUAUGCAAAUCGUACUGAACAUUGGAAUUGAUGUAUAAGCAAAAAUACAAGAGUAUUUAUGUCAAUACAAAUUUUUUUUUUCCAUUUUAAAUAAACACAACGCGAUGUUUAUCUGCUCCGCGUUUUUGCAAUCUGUUUAUUCGUUGUUUAUUUGCUUCUUAAGGCCUCAAACUUUGAUAACCAAAAAUUUCACCAAACUAUGAAAAAUAUUCUGCAGGUUAGUUUUUAUUUUCGGAAUAAUUAUUUGAGAAUACUAAAACACAAUAUAAAAUAAGAAAAUAGGGGGUUAAAAUUUGAAAAAAAAACAAAAGGGCAUGUUGGAUAGAUUACUGUAGUUUAAGAAAAAAAUUAUUCAGUUGGGAAUUUUUUUUCUUUAAUUUUUGUUUUACUUAAUUGAGAUUUCUCCUUAAUCCUUACAGUUUUAAAUUUGGAUAACAUAGGAUUAGUAAUUUAGUACUUCCUUUGCAAGCCGAGGUUAAUGAUGAAAUUCUUUUAAGAAAAAAGAUAAAAGAGCAUACCAAUAGUCAAUUAUAAAUAACCACAAAUAAAUACAAACAAAAUGUUUAUGAAGUAAAUUAAAAAUGUGCAUAUUAUUUUUUUUUUAUUUCUUACUAAUCUUUGUAUUUGCUGCUUGAAAAACCAUAAAUACACAGAUGACCAUUGGCUUCGCACCAUUUAAUUGGGAUACAUUUCUACGUACAAACUGAACAAGGCUAUUGAUUUUUAUUAUUAUUUUUAUUUAUUUAUAAAUUACUAUUUCAAUUUUCACUUUUUAUUGGGUUGUUUAAUGGAUUAGUGAGGCUGGUGGUCGUUGAUGCACUCACAAGGUACAAUUUUGUUUUCCAAUUUCAAAUUCGUAUUUUAAAAUGCAGCACAUUAUGUAUACAUAAUUAUUGAUUUUCAUAUGUGGGUGUUUUGAAAUAUUGCUAAAAGACCAAACUUUAAUAAACUAUUUUUGAUCCUUUUUUGUUUCUUUUUUCCUAAAGUUUGAGUGAUAUCCGCAUUUUUAAAAGCUAAUGUAUGCAAAAAAUUCUUUUAUUUUUCUGGGGAAAAUAGGCAAGAGAAAACGUUUUGGCAAAUGAGUUGCAACUGAAUUCAAAACCAAUACGAUGCGAGCAUAGGAAAGAGGUCAGUGUUUUGGAUUUGAAUUUAGUAUUGAGCUGAAUUUUAUGUUUAACACAUGAUUCUAUUAUAGUACUGCGAUUAAUAAGCUCAGCCCCGGAUUUGCUUUUGCUUUUGCUUUUACUUCAAGUGAAAGAAAGAGGAAACCUUUUGUUUUUUCUUUGGUUUUUGACUAUGUUACCUAUACAGAGAGUCAAGAUAUCAGCCAUAAGUGAUGGUGUUAAAAAGAUUAAGCAGCGCACACAAUCUUACUGCUGUCUAGACCAUCCAAUGAUGACUCCAGUCUUUUGGUUACAUUAGCUUUAGUUGAAAUAAGGGCCAAUUUAGCAAACACUAGCUUUGGCGGCUUACUAUGUUUAAUGUAAUGCUUAUUCUCAAGGAAUCUAAUGUUAUAAGAUGAUUGAAUGAUCUUCUAUGAUUGUGAGUAGUAUAGGAUAAUUGAAAAGAGCCUGGCUCCUAUGAUAAAUAACAGUAACACAGUACUGUGAUUGAAAAAGUUCAGUUACAAAAACUUAGUUACAGUAAACUCUUCAUUUAUUCAUUGCGGAGAUUGAAUGGCAAAAAGAGAAUAGAAUGAAGCAGAGGAAUCUCAUUGCCAAUAAAAUUGACCCUCUUUAAUGUUAUAUGGCACAGGUAUGUUUACAUCAAGAACAAGUUACUUACAGUUUUUAUUGUAGUUAAGUUUUGAUGAUUUCAGAUGCUUUUUUUUUUUAAUUGUGACACCUUUGAUUUAUAAUAAUAUUGCAAAUAUAUAUAUAUAUAUAUAUUAGUAGUUUUUUGGUCCGAAAUUUUAAAGUGUGAGAAAGUAUGAGAAAGCUUUAAAACCGCACGGUGUUAAAGGCUUACAGUUUUAAGCAUUUUAAUCCAUGCGGUUUUAAAGUUUUACUGGAUUUUUCCGCACUUUAAAAUUCCAGACUGAAACAUUUCUGUAUAUAUAUACAUAUAAAUAUAUAAAUUAAGAGGGAUGAGUUAACUGAAGAUUAUAAUCAUUACAACAAUGCUGAUGAGUGAUACAUCACUUGAAAUUUACUUAUCAGUUGCUGAAAUGAUGAAAAAAAAACAAUAAACAAUAACAGUGAUAAUGUUCUCUUGCUAAAAUGACUUGUAUAUUAUACAAUCCACUCUACUUAAUGAUAUCGUUUUAAUAAAUGUUUGAUGAUCUCCAUUUAAAAACUACUUCAAUUUUUUUCUUCAUUUAACUUUUUGGUUGUUGAAAAUAACCUUAAUUAUCAAAUAAUUGGAGAAAGAGUAAAGAACAUUUAACAAAUUUAUGUGUAAAAAAAAAAAGGAGAAGUUGAAGAGAAAGGGUGCUUGCAGAAGUAGGUGUCAAAGAUAAAUCGGUCCAUAGGAAUUAUUUGUUGAGAUAUAAUUAAUAAUCUAGUAAAUUGAGCAAGAAGUUUGAAGGGUUAUUUGGUUUGUUUUUCAACAUGAAGUAAAGGGUAGAAUUGAUGUUUGCAAUGUAGCUUUGGAAAUGUAAAGCAUGAUUAAUGUAAUCUCUAGAGUUGUCUAUAAUGCAUAUAAAUAUAGAACUCUGGUUGUAUGAAAAGUAAGAGAGAAACGAAAAAAUGAAUUAAGCAAUAAAGUUUCAGAAAUUUCCAGCAAAAUACUCUGUUCUUAAAUAAAAAUUUUUCUGCACUUCCGCUUGCACCCAACAAAUUUGGUAUCAGAGCUAUUCCAAAACACCCUCAAAAUGACAUCAAACUUCUCCCUGUUUUGAGCUGGAAUAAGAGCAGAAAGCUGUGGGAAAAGGCACUAUUGCUGUCCAUACAAAGGAAGGUACUGAUUUCCUUAUUGUUUGCCUUUAUGUUGAUGCUGCAACAACAAUUUAUUGUGACAACAUGUCAGCCAUUGCUCUAACAAAGAACCCCGUAUUUCAUGCUAAAUCUAAGCACAUUGAGCUGCGUUAUCACUACAUCCGUGACUUAGUAAACAAAGGAGAAGUUAAUAUGGAGUUUAUCAGCACUAAUGAGCAGCCAUCAGAUUUUCUGACCAAAGCAAUCAACAUUGAGAAGUUUGAAAAAUUCAAGAAGCAAUUGAAGAUUACUAAUUAAGAGGGGGUGUUGAGAUAUAAUUAAUAAUCUAGUAAAUUGAGCAAGAAGUUUGAAGGGUUAUUUGGUUUGUUUUUCAACAUGAAGUAAAGGGUAGAAUUGAUGUUUGCAAUGUAGCUUUGGAAAUGUAAAGCAUGAUUAAUGUAAUCUCUAGAGUUGUCUAUAAUGCAUAUAAAUAUAGAACUCUGGUUGUAUGAAAAGUAAGAGAGAAACGAAAAAAUGAAUUAAGCAAUAAAGUUUCAGAAAUUUCCAGCAAAAUACUCUGUUCUUAAAUAAAAAUUUUUCUGCACUUCCGCUUGCACCCAACAUUAUUUUGGUUAUUUUUUAGCAAUAUAAAAAUUUUUUAGCAAGUAAAAAUUAAUUUUUUUCCAAUUUACUAAAAAAUUAACUAAAAACUUCUGCGAUAGCAUUUUUUAUGGGUGCAUAUACCUCCCUUUAAAAAAUAUAUAAUAAUUAAUGCUUAAUAUAGUAUUAAAUACGAAAAUAUCAAUAUUUGACUACUCAAAUUUAUAUCAUUAGGUCCUUAAAAUUUAAAAUUGAAGAUACAAAAGGAAAUAUAUAUAAAUUUCAUUCUCAUGGGAAAGGAUCAUCUUAUAAUCUUAUAAUAUUUGAGUUUUGAAAUAUUUUUUUGAAACAAAUGUACUUUUAUUUGUGUACAAUCAAUAUGUACUUAUUUAUUAUAUUUUUAUUUAUUAACUAUCAAUCAUGUGAGUAUAUUUAGUCAGAAAAAUUAUAUCAAGAGAGAACCCUAAUUUCACGUAAAGACAAAUACAAGACAAAUAUGGCAAUUUCUAUACUAUUCACUUUCCUGUAGAAUCAAUUAUCUAAAAUGCAAGUUUGUGGCUUCAAAAAACUCGCCAAAGAAAGAAGAUAAUUACAAUUGAGCAUUGAUAGCAAAUCUAAUGCAUCCAAUUCUUCUUAACUUGAUGAGUGACGUGAAUACUAGCAGUCUGUAACGCCCAAAUUUUUAUUAUUUUAUUUAUUUUUUAAUGGAAUUUAUAAAUGACAUUUUUGCCCUUAUAAAAACGGUUAUUCAUGGAAUAAUUUUUAGGAAAGGGUUAUUUUUCCAAAUUCAAUAGGGUUUCUUAAGACUCCCUAUAAAUUCAUAUUUUUCUCCUUCCAUAACCCUAAAAGCACGACGUUUCUUCUUCUUCUAUGCUGCUCAUUACGCUCUUACCCAAACCCUAGGAUUCAAACCUUUGGUUAAGAGAGAAUCAAAGCGAUUGGUAAGUUUAUUCCCCUUAUUCUCCACAAGAUUCCCAAUCACUCUAUCUAGGGUUUAUAUUGGCACGAUUUUAGAUUGUUAUAGAUCAUAAUGCAUGAUUUAGAAUGUGUUUAGGCUUUGUUUAGAGUUUUGAUUUAUUAUGAGUUUAGUUAAUCAACCUUGACGUAUUAAGCACAUAGAAUAGUUCCAUAGAAUAUUAUGUUAUUCUGAGUUUUAGAUUAAGAGUUAAAAUUCUGAGCAUCGGACCUGUACGGGUACGAAUUAAAAAAACCAGGUUCUUAGAAUAAGUUAUUAAUUGUCAUAUAUUGUAUUUGUUUAAGGCGUUGGAGGUGAUUGAGGCUCUUAGAGGGUUAGAGGUGUGUUAAUUCAAAUUCUUUUGUCAAGUUAAGUAACUUUAUUCCUAAUGUACUGGAUAUAUAUAUAUGAUUAUUUUGAUAUUAUUAUAAGUAUACGAAUUUUUUUACUACUUAGAAGAUUAAUGGAUUUUCAUAACAAAAUCAGUUUGUGUAAAUGUUUUCAAACCUAAAUUCUUUUUAAUAAAUUAUUUUGUAAAGGCUUUUAAAUAUGUAAGUUAUUUUAUGACAUGACUACCUUUUAUAAUUUUGUCUAUGAAAUAUUUGCAAGCCUAAAUUGUGGUUAUGGACUUUCAUGAAACUGAUACAAAUGUUUUGUACCUAUGUAUGAUUUCAAUUAUUUAUGAUUGUACGGGGGCCACCUCUUGGGACUAUAUGGGGGCCACCUCUUGAAAGCCAAAGCAUCGCAAAGUGCCACAUAUAAGUCAUUAUGUUUUGGCUCAUUGUCCAUAGUUAUUCUGAUUCUGAUUCUGAUCGUAUAAUACGAUAUAUGUCUGUUCUGGACCAGUACUGGGUUUUUGUUUUGAGUGUGCACACGAUAUUCUGAUUCUGUUUUUGGCCGAGUCACCAGGACUAUAGGUGACACUAUGUGACAUGAGCUAACCUUUUGUUUUAUGUGAAUGUGAUAUAUGAUUUGCUUUUGUAAGUAACUAUACUUUUGAUAUUCUGAGUUACAAUGAAUUUAAAUUAUUUUAUAGUGAUAUAUCGUUUUAUGAAAUUUAUGGAUUAUGAUAUAUGUUUUAAUUAAAAGAAGGCUUGCAAUAUUUUUGGUAUCGAUAGGCCUAGUGUGUUAGGAAUAGUUUUACUUACCGAGUUGACGGCUCACCCCUCGUCAUUACUUUUUGCAGAUUAAAUUUCUUUUGAGAGGUGCCCUUAGCUUUGGAGUUAGUAAUUUUCUGUUUCCGUUUGCCAUUUGAAUAAGAUGAGGAAUAGACUCAUGUUUCUAUUUAGUUUAUUUCUGUUAUGGACGUGUAAUUUGGAGUUUGAGACUUUUGUUAUUUUUUUUAUGUCCUCGGGAGAGAUUAUUUAGUAUUAGACGUUUGAAUUUGUGGAUUUAUUCGAAUAAGAAUUUGAGGUAUUUCAGUUUGAAACUUAUGAGUAAAGAUUAUGAUUUGUAAGUAACCUCCUUCUUCACGUGCUCCGCACGUGUUAGAUUUGGGGUGUUACAAUUGUGGUAUCAGAGCAUUAGGUUUGGGAUUCUGUAGACUUUAUUUGAGACUAGAUUUCUUAAGCACAAUCAAUUAGUUCAAUGGUAUUGCUUGCCAUGAGGUUAUCAGAAAGAGUAGAUCUUUAAGGCGAGGAGUAAUUUUGGUCUUUUUGAUUUUCUAGUUGCUUGUGACUUUGUAAUAACUCCUUGAUAUAGGAUUUUGGUAUUAACGUAGAAUGAAAUAUUUGUUUGCUCUUGUUGUCAAUCACUAAUGUUUCUCAGUUAUACUACUUACUCAGUACUUUGCGCACUAGCAAGGCCUUUAACUAUGAAUUAUUUACCGUUUUAUUUAUUUAUUUAUUUUUAUUCUUCGUGUUAUAGUCAAAAGAUGUUGCGUAGGGGAGGUGCUAGGCAUGCCUCUAGCUCGAGAGAUGUUUUAGGAAUCGCUGAUGACGUUGACCCAACCUUGCGUGAGAUGGCUAACGAAGGGAAUCCUAUGAUGCGCGCAAUGGUUAGAUUGAUGGAACAACAAAGUAAGUUGAUUCAAGAUAUGGCUAGAGGUAAAGUUGGGGCACAGGAGAAUGUGCCAGUUGAAAGACAAGGUGGUGGAAGAGAUCAGGGAGGUAUGAUGAGCUUAGAGCGGUUUAGGAAAUUGGGACCACCUACCUUUCAGGGGACUGCCGAUCCUAUGGUUGCAGAGGCAUGGUUAAGACAGAUGGAGAAAAUAUUUAUGGCUAUGGGUUGUAAUGAUGAUCAUAGGGUGAUAUUGGCCUCAUUCGUCCUUUAGGGCGAGGCAGACCACUGGUGGGAUGCCAAAUCCCGUCUUUUGAGGGCCGGGUUACAAGAUGCACCUAUUACUUGGGAGUUAUUUCUGGAGGCUUUUCAUGAAAAAUAUUUUCCUGAACGAGUUCGACAUCAGAUGGAGGUUGACUUCCUGAAAUUGACUCAAGGAACAAAGUUUGUUGCGGAGUAUGAGGAGCAAUUUACUGCUCUAUCUCAUUUUUCUCCUACCUUAGUUGCUAAUGAGGGUAGUAAGUGUAGGAAAUUCUUGGAAGGGUUACAUCCAAACAUCAAAAGACGGUUGACCAUCCUUAAGCUUAAUAAUUAUGCCGAUUUGGUGGAUCGUGCGAUUAUUGCAGAGAGGGAUAUAAUUCAAUCUCAAGUUGCACGAUCUAAUCGACAUAAUAACCAGCCAAUAAAACAUGAUAGUAAUGGUAGCGAAGGUGAACAUAAGGACUCUAAUGGUGGGUCUAUUCAAGAGAACAAACCAUUCUGUAAUCGUUGUGACAAGUACCAUAAUGGCACGUGCUAUUUAAAGAUAGAAGCUUGUUUUGGCUGUGGAAAGAUGGGGCAUAAGGUUAUAGAUUGCCCAAAAAAGCGCAGUGGUAACAUAGAUUCUGCCGAGAACCAAAGGAAAAAGCCAUGUGUCUUCGCCAUGGUGGAGCAAGAUAUUAAGAAACCGAAUAACGAAGCCUCAGGUGCAUUACCUAUUUUCCAUAGAAAGCCUUGAAUUUUUGAGUAAUUGGUAUUGUGCUUUUCCUCCAUCCUUUCUGAUUGGAUGCAUCGUAGCUAGAGUUUUUAGCCUAAUAAUUUCUUUUUUCAUCCAUUGAAUUUCUAUGGUACAUUAGUAGGAUAUGACGUGUGAUUUUAUAAGGCCAUUAGGAUUAACUUAUGGUUGGAUGGAGUAGGGACUAAUAUGAUAUUUAGUAGGAUAUGUGAUGAAGAUUGCAAUAAAAGUGUUUCACCAGCAAUGUGCGAGCGCAUUGAACAGUUUUGAAGUUGAAUGUGAAGUGAUAAAAAAUAUUCGCCAUCGAAACCUUAUCAAUGUUAUUGGCAGUUGUUCGAACGAUGACUUCAAAUCAUUAGUCCUAGAAUACAUGUCCAACGGGAGCUUGGAGGAUUGGCUGCAUUCUAGCAAUUAUGUGCUUAAUAUUUUUCGCAGGUUGAACAUAAUGAUUGACGUUGCAUCAGCUUUAAAAUAUCUCCACUUCGAUCAUUCAACUCGUAUCAUUCAUUGUGACUUAAAGCCUAAUAAUGUGUUGUUGGGUGAAAAUAUGGUUGCUCAUUUGAGUGAUUUUGGCAUAGCAAAGCUUUUAAGUGGAAGAUGAGUCUACGAUGCGAACAAAAACCCUUGCCACUAUAGGUUAUACGGCACCAGGUUUGCUUGAAACAACUUUUUUUUUUAGUUUAUUUUAAAAUUUCCAAAUUAUUGAUUUUUACGAUCCUCAUAUCAAAAUGUUAUUGAUUAUUUAUCUAAUUAUGAAAUAAUUUAAUUCAUAGAGUAUGGCAUAGAAGGAGAAAUAUCUGCAAAAAGUGAUGUUUACAGCUAUGGGAUUAUGUUGAUGGAAACUUUUACCAAGAAAAAACCCACAGAUGAGAUUUUUGUUGGAGAAUUGAGCUUAAAGCGUUGGGUUAAUGACUUGCUUCCUAAUUCAUUAGUGGAAGUUGUGGACAAAAUUCUGAUAAUUGGAGAGGAAAAACAUUUUGCCGCAAAGGAGCAAUGUCUGUUCUCUAUCUUUAUUUUGGCUCUGGAGUGUACAAUGGAAUCACCGGAAAAGAGGAUCAAUACAAAAGAUAUUGUUACCAGAUUACUCAAGAUAAGAGACACAUUGAGUAAAAGGAUAGGAAAUUUAAGUUAAUUUUGUUUGCUUUCAUUGAUAGUUACUUUGAAUUCAUGUAAUAAGUGUAAGAAUCGUUUAUCUUUUCUUUUGAUAUUUUUUUCUUGAGAAAACUGUUGUAGUCAUCUUUUUUCAAUGGGCAGAGUUGAUUUAGUUCUUCCAAGAAAUGCUAUUGUUGAUCUUUGUUAUAUACUUUUGUCUUUUUUUGCAUGCAUUUAGGUAGAAUAGUGGUCUAGCUGCAGGCUAACAAGUCAAGCUACGCUAAAAGGGUAUGAUUUAAUUUAUUAAACCUAACUUCAAGUUCAAGAAUUGUAUCUCAUUGCCACCAAUGCUUUAGACACCUAUUGGUAGGUUUGUGUCCUCAACUUUGUUUAGAGCAAAAGUUCCAGUCCCAUGGAGGCUCAAAUAUUCCUCUCCUACGUCCCGAACACACUAAAUUCAUCAGCCUCUUGAACCCUCUCCUGAGGGCGCCUUCUGUCCUCUGUUUUCUGUUUCCAUACACAAAUAGCAAAAAGAAUUCAGAAUGACAACUGGGACAUAUAUAAGAGUGAAAUAAUUAAAAAAAAUUAUGCUUUUUUGUUUGUCGUGUUAAAAUCGUAAGGUAUCUAAGUACUAUGAAAGAGAUUAGUUUACGAAAACUGAAGCCAAGGGUUCAUAAAAAAGUGCAAAGAGAAUAAAGGACAACGCUUAUGUAAAGCGACAUAAUUGUAUUGGUAGCACAAUGUCACGUUCAUACAGAGAUCAAGUACAUUAUUUACAGCUGGUAAGGGCUAAGAAUUGAUGUAGCUAGAAUACAAAUAUGAUAAGGUAUGUUGUGCACUAUUGUUUUAUUCUACAAUCAAUCUUGACCCUUGAUGCUUGGCUCUCAAUCUUGUCCAUUGAUCUUCUCUGAUCUCGAAAACUUCAAGACCUUUCAAUCUCAUGCCUUAUUAUUGGUAUGUUCUAUGCUGUUAAUUUCAAAUACUAGCUUUUCCGCCAACUUGCCAAUUAUUUGUUCAUUGGUGCGUUCUGUCAAACAGUGUGGAUACUUAUACCAAACGCUUUCUGUUUUAACUCCCCCUUUCAAGCUCAACUAUCUGGGAAGACACUAAUAAGCUUGUUUCUCAAGUAUAUGUAUCUGAAAAUUAAAUUUUCAAAAUUAUAUUCGGACUCUACAUUUUCUAAUGAACAUUGGUUUGGCUCAUAAGCUUAUUAUACUUGGGCUUGGUAGGAUUAUCGGUCGGUAGAUGAACAAGUGUUAGAGCUUUCGAAUUUAUGCCAAUUAAAAAAAAAUCUAUAUAAAUUUUCCACUAGGCUAUUACCACAAUAAACAUUUGGAUGAACUAUUAUUGAAACCUUAUUGAGAAGUAGGACAUGUCGCAUACCAAUGCACUGACAUAUCUUCAAAUAGUGGUAACUCCACACAACAUGGCACAAUAAAUUAGAGUUAUAUAGAUAAAAUCUUUCACUCUUUGGUAAUCAUCAAUGUCGGCAUGGCAAUGCGUCCGACAAAAUUCAUAAAUCAAAACAAAAAUAGAGAAUCAUAUUUGUUUCAGAUUGUAGUGAUGGUUGUUCAUAAUUCACAAUUUUAUUUAAUAUCUUCAAAUUCGCAUUUUAAAAUGCACAAAUGUUUGUGUAUACAUAAUUAGUAAUCGAUUCUCAAGCUUGGACAUUUAAAAGCACUGCUAAAAGACAAAAUUUUAAUUCACUAUUUUUUGUCUUUUAAUUUUCUUUAAGUUUUAAUGAUUCCGCAUUUUAAAAUCCUGUGGAACGUACAUGUAAAAUUCUUUUAUCUUUUAGAGGAAAAUGGGCAAGAGAAGAAGAUUUGGCAAAGGAAUUGCAACCGCAUUUGGAGCUAGUUUUAAUUUUGUCUUUUAAUUCUUUUACACUUGGCUUUUGUUAUUGAUGUCAACUUCGAUGUGUGUGCGUGUGCGACUGAAUUCAACUUACAUGCUAUUGAUGCAGCCACCAAAAAGGGGUGGUCCAUCAUCAAUCAACAAGGUUUAUUAUUAUUUCCAUAUUGAUUUUCUUAAUUAUAAAUAAUACUAAUGUUAUUUCAUAGUUAUAAAUAUAUUAGAAUUAAUCGAAAUCAUUUUUUAGUGUGGCAUGGCUAAAACUACCUUUUUUUUUUAUAAGUAAUUACUACUUUCACAUUAAGAAAAAUACUCCUAUUUUUAAGGAAAAGUCAAGUACCUGUAGUUGUGAAGACUCAAGCUCACUCCCUUAUGAUAAAUCUUCAUAUUAAUUACGUAAAUAUCCUCUAAAAUUUUAAAUUAGCUAUUCAAAAUUUGAUGUUAUACGGGUAUUUCAUUUAUUUGAGUAGGGGUUAGGGGUCAAUUGGAUACAAAUUCAAAAUUAUCCUUACUUGAGAAGGUGAUAAAAAUUGGGGAUUUAGUUUGGAUGUCAUUAGCUACAAAUAUUAAACUCAUACAUUUAAUUCAAAAUUAGAGGGCUGAUAUGUGCGCAUCAUCGUCCACGUUAUAGUGACACUGCGUCACCAUUCCACAACCUCUCCAAUGAAAAAUUGACAUGCUUCUUGUGCGCAUCUAAUCAGAAUCUUGAAAAUUAAUCACAAAAUUGUACUUUUAUUAUAAAAAGAAUAAAGAAACUCCAAGAAAAAAAAAAAGACUUACAUAAAUAGAUUGAAAAAUCUAGAUUUCAAGUUGUCUAUAUUAGCUUGAUAUUUUUAUUAAUAGUCAUCCUCCCAAAAAAAUUCCAUCAAAAUAUAUUUUAAUUUUAUGUUAAUUCAUAAACAUGAAAAAAUCAUUUUAGAAUUAAUUAAAACAUAAUUUAUUGUUGCUCAAAAAAGGUAGAACUUAGUUAUCAGAAAAAAGUGUCUAAAAUAUAUGUUAAAAAAAAAUCAUGGUUGGUUGGACUGAUUGAAUUUUUUUUUUCUUUUUUAAGAAUUAAGACAAUUGGAUGGAUUGAGUAAUAAUAAUACAUAUUUAUUUGGCAAAUGGCAGGGAGGCUUUCGUCUGAUGCAGAUUGAUUAGAGAGAAAAUAUAACAAUUUUAAGCUCGUCAGAUUCGAAGCUGCUUACCUGUCGUGUGGGGAUCACUUCCGUGUCUUAUUUUUCUAGAAAAAUCUGGACCAUUGGAUUUACCAUUAGUCAAUAGAGAAAUGUUGAUCUUGAUUCUUGAUCAAGAUCGAAGUUUGAUUCUAACUAACACGAUAUCAGAUUGCGAAGCAAGCAAAUUGAAAGUCACUUGUUCUAUGGAAGAAACACAAGUUCUAAUAAAACAUUCUCAUAGUAAAGUGAAUUACCAUCCAACGAUCCAACUCAUGUUUUCAAAUUGUAAAUUGCAAAUCGUGUGUUUGCUCCAUUACAGAGUUUCUUCAAUCUGAAAUAGCGAAUCAUUUGUGUUCUAGAUUAAUCGUGGGUCUAUAUCCAAAUCUAAAAAUUGACUAACUUGAUUUCUAUUAAAUUCUUAAUCCUAACAAGAAAAAUUGAAGAUUAAAAACGACUAAUUUGGUACCAUACCACUAUUGUAACAUAGGUAGAUCCUCUAUUAAUUGGAGUAAAGAUUGAAUUAUCUCAUUUAUUAAGGUUUAUCAAAAUCUUGUGUCAAAAUCUAUUAAUGAUAUAGGUUCAAGGAUGAAAAAGUCACUGCAUUACUUUUGAGUUCCCAAAUAGAUGAAUGGAUGUUAUUUUUAGAUUCCGGAGAGUCGAAAAUAUUAAGAUAGGUGCUAAAUCGAAUUAAGUUGUAGAUACGAUAGAAAUGGAUUUGGAGAGAUUGGAAUCCUAGGUAAUCCGGUGCACGUUGUCGUGUUAAAUUCUCGUUGACUUCACGUUGACUGAAGCAUUAUUGGAAGAAACAAGUUUAUUGAUGUGAGGCCUUUGAGGUUGUAAGUGUUAAAUCUGAGAAGAAUACCCACACACCCAUUAUCCUAUUACUCUUAUAUCACAUGAAGAGAAUUCAACAUUUGAUUCACACGGAAAAAAUUUGUGAGGAAUGUGAGGGUUGAUGGAAUAUAAUUUAGAUACAAAGUGUUUACCAGUGCGAUGCUUCGCAAGUGUUCUUGAAUCAAUAUAAACUCACAUUAUUUUCAUAGUGAUUGUUUCAUCUGCACGUUAAUAUAAUCACAUGUCGAGAUUUUUUUCCUUAAAUUAUGGUCUUAUUUAGUAUUGAGGUGUUAUAUCUUUUAAGGUACAAUUAUUGUUGGAAAAAAGUUACAACUAUCAAAUAAAAUUAAUACUAUGUGCUAAAUAUAAUUGUUAAAUAAUAAUUUUGACAAAAUUAGUGAAGUUAUAUAGAUUUUUUUCAUCAUCCAAGUAUAAAAUCAAAUCAACUUAACUUCUAAGUUAUAUAUCGGCUACUGUUUAUCAUAUGUUUUAGUUUUGUAACUUUUAAAUUAUAGUUACCCAACCUCAAUUCUAAACAAGACCUAUAAAGAUCAAAGAUUUCCUCAUUAAAUUAUAUGUCUUGUGAUUGCUUAUUUAAUUUAUAUUUUUGUUAUUUAUCUUUAUUAAUUAUAAUCAUCUUUUUAUAAAUUAAAAUUGAAGGAAGUUGAUUGAUGUUGUUGACACACACACGCACGCGCACGCACACACUCACAAAGAUAUAUUGGAAGUGCUUACGUCGACUCGAAGUUGUUGGGAAUUAAUGCAUGUAUUGAUUUAUUGGGAGUGUUUAAAUGAUUUUGUGAUUUACUUGAUUUAUUGAUUGAAUAUUGUUUGAUUGCUUCAUAUCCAUUCUAGAAAGUUUAUUUCUUUGUGAAAGUUCAACGAAAUAUGUUUUUUUUUUUAAAUAAGGGUGUUCUAAAUAAUUUUAAAAAAUAUAUGCUUGUCUUCCCAAAAUAGCCUUUGAAUACACAAGUAAAUGUCUAGCCUUUGGUGAGGAUAGUUUGGUCAUUGCAUUUUACAAGUAAGAUGAGUGGUGGAGAAAAAUGAGGAGUGCACAUAACUCUUCAGCAAAUCCCACCAACAAUUCCAUUUUCUUAAUUAAUUAAUCUCCUUUUUUAUCCCCAAACAAAUCCUAAUGAUACUAUUAUCAGGUUUAAAACAGUACACAAAUAGUGAAAAGCUAACUAGUCUGUAGAGUAAUUUGCUAAUUGCUAUCUCCUCUCUAUGCUCGCUGAAUAAUUUGUUGCAUGCAAACUUUUUAUUUUAUGCAAAUCAUACGUACUGUAACAUUGGAAUUGAUGUAUAAGCAAAAAUACAAUAAUAUUUAUGUCAAUACAAAUAGUUUUUUUUCCCUUUUUAAAUAAACACAACGCGAUGUUGCUCUGCUCUACAUUUUUGCUAUCUCUUUAUUAUUAUUAUUUUUUUUUGGGCUUCUUAAAGCCUCAAACUUUGAUAACCAAAACUUCAUCGACCUAUGAAAAAAUCUGCAGAUUAGUUUUUAUUAUCGGAAUAAUUGUUUGAGAAUACUAAAACAAAAUAUAAAAUAAGAAAAUACGGGGUUAAAUUUGGGGAAAACAAAAAGGCAUGUUGGAUAGAUUACUAUAGUUUAAGGGGAAAAAAAAAUUCAAUUGGAAAUUUUUUUCUUUAAUUUUUGUUUUACUUGAUUGAGAUUUCUCCUUAGUCCUUACAGUUUUAAGUUUGGAUGCCGUAGGGUUAGUAAUUUAGUAUUUCCCUUGCAAGCUGAGCUUAAGGAUGAAAUUUCUUUUAAGAAAUUAAAAAAGAUUAAAAAAAGCAUACCAAUAGGUAAUUAUAAAUAACCAUAAAUAAACAUAAACAAAAUGUUUAUGAAGUAAAUUACACAUGCACAUAUUAUUUUUUUGUUAUAUUUCUUACUUGUCUAUUUUAUUUGCUGCUUGAUAACCCGUAAAUACUAAUCUAGUACUGCUAAUUUCAGACACAAAAUGUUUAACUCUAGGCUGCAGUUUUACUCAAAAUGAUGACCACUGGCUUCGCACCAUUUAACCGGCAUACAUUUCUACAAAUUGAACAAGGCUAUUGAUUUUCAUUAUUAUUUUUUAUUUAUUUAUAAAUUACUAUUUUAAUUUUCACUUUUUAUUGGGUUGUUUACAGAUUAGUGAAGUUGGUGGUCGUGAUGCACUCACAAGGUACAAUUUUAUUUUAUAAUUUCAAAUUUGUAUUUUAAAAUGCAGGUACAUUAUGUAUACAUAAUUAUUGAUUUUCAUAUGUGGGUGUUUUGAAAUAUUGCUAAAAGACCAAACUUUAAUAAACUAUUUUUUAUCUUUUUUUUUCCUAAAGUUUGAGUGAUAUCCGCAUUUUAAAUUCAUGUGGAACAAAAGCUAAUGUAUGCUCAAAAUUCUUUUAUUUUUUCCGAGAAGAAUGGGUAAGAGAAGAAGAUUUUUCUGUUGAAAAAGAAAAACUAAUACGAUGCAAGCAUAGGAAAGAGGUCAGUGUUUUGGAUUAGAAUUUAGUAUUGAGCUGAAUUUUAUACUAAACUCUUUUAUAGUACUGCGAUUAAUAAACUCAUGAUUUGCUUUUGCUUUUACUUCAAGUGAAAGAAAGAGGAAACCGUUUGAUUUUUGUUUGAUUCUUGACUAUAGAUGUUACCUAUAUAGAGAGUUGAGGUAGCUGCCUUAAGUGAUGGUUAUAAAAAGAUUAAGCAGCGCACACAAUCUUACUGUCGUCCAGACCAUCCAGCUAUGAUGACUCUAGUUUUUUGGUUACAUUAACUUUAGUGGAAAGGAGGGCCAAUUUAACAAAGACUAGAUUUGGUGGCUUACUAUAAUGCUUAUUCUCAGGGAAUCUAAUGUUAUAAGAUGAUUUAAUGAUCUUCUAUGAUUGUGAGUAGUAUAGUAUAAUUGAAAAGAGCUUGGGCUCCUAUGAUGAAUAUUUAAUAGUAACACAGUACUGUUAUUGAAAAAAACACAGUUACAAUAAACUCUUCAUUUAUUCAUUGUGGAGAUUGAAUGGCAAACAGAGAAUAAAAUGAAGCAGAGGAAUCUCAUUGCCAGUAAAAUUGACCCUCUUUAAUGUUAUAUGGCACAGGUGUGUGUACAGCAAGAUCAAGUUACUUGCAGUUUUUAUUGUAAAAUAUAUAGGUUAUGACCAUGAUCAUUGUAGUUAGGUUUUGAUGAUUUUAGAUGCUUUUUUUAUUUUUUUUAAAAUUGUGACACCUUUGAUUUAUGGUAGCUUUGCAGAAGAAAAAUAUAUAUAUAUAAAUUAGGAGGGAUGAGUUAACUAACGAUUGCAAUCAUUACAGUAAUGUUGAUGAGUGAUACAUCAUUUGAAAUUUACUUGUCAGUUACUGAAAUGAUGAAAAAAAACAAUAAACAAUAGCAGUAAUAUUUUUAUGGAAAAUCUUGGUUUUUAUGGAAAUACUCUUGCUGAAAUUCUAAUUUUGACUUUCAACUCUUGGUUUUUAUGGAAAGUAAAAUGACUUGUUUGUUAUAUUCAUACAAUCCACUCUACAUAAUGAUUUCAUUUUAAUAAAUGCUUGAUGAUCUCCACUGAAAAACUACUUCAAUUCUUUUGUUUUAUUUAACUUUUUGGUUGUUGAAAAUAGCCUUAAUUUUCAAAUAAUUGGAGAAAGAGUAAAGAACAUUUAACAAAUUUAUGUGCCAAAAAUAAAGGAGAAAUUGAAGAGAAAGGGUGCUUGCAGAAGUGGGUGCAAAGAUAAAUCAGUCCAUAAGAAUUAUUGUGGUUAUUAAGUUUUUGGCAAUAUAAAAAUUUUUCAGCAAAUAAAAAUUGAUUUUUUCCGAUUUACUAAAAAAUUAAUUAAAAACUUCGGUGAUAGCAUUUUUUAUGGGUGCAUGUACCCUCCCUUUAAAAAAAAUAUAAUAAUUAAUACUUAAUAUAGUAUUAAAUACGAAAAUAUCAAUAUUUGACUACACAAAUUUAUAUCAUUAGGUCCUUAAAAUUUAAAAUUGAAGACACAAAAUGAAAUAUAUAUAAAUUUCAUUCUCACAGGAAAGGAUCCUCUUAUAAUCUUAAAAUAUUUGAGCUUUGAAAGAUUUUUUAAAACAAAUGUACUUUUAUUUUUGUACAAUCAAUAUUUACUUAUUUAUUAUAUUUUUAUUCAUUAACUAUCAAUCAUGUGAGUAUAUUUACUCAGAAAUAUCAUAUCAAGGAAGAAUCUUGAUCCCACGCACACACAAAUAUGUUAAUUUCUAUACGCUUCACUUACCUGUAGAAUCAAUUAUCUAAAAUGCAAGUUUGUGGCCACAAAAAAAGCCAAAGAAAGAAGAUAAUAACAAUUGACUUGUAUAUUAUACUCAUACAAUCCACUCGACAUAAUGAUAUCAUUUUAAUAAGGCAAUGGCUGAUGAUCUCCAUUGAAAAACCAAUUCAAUUUUUUUGCUUCAUUUAACUUUUUGGUUGUUGAAAAUAACCUUAAUUAUCAAAUAAUUGGAGAAAGAGUAAAGAACAUUUAACAAAUUUAUGUGCAAAAAAAAAAAAAAAAAAAGGAGAAGUUGAAGGGAAAGGGUGCUUGCAGAAGUGGGUGUCAAAGAAAAAUCUGUCCAUAAGAAUUAUUGCGGUUAUUUUUUGGCAAUAUAAAAUUUUUAUAGCAAGUAAAAAUUAAUUUUUUCCAAUUUACUAAAAAAUUAACUAAAAACUUCUGCGACAACAUUUUUUAUGGGUGCAUAUACCCGCCCUUUAAAAAAAAAAAUAAUUAAUGCUUAAGUUAGUAUUAAAUACGAAAAUAUCAAUAUUUGACUACUCAAAUUUAUAUCAUUAGGUCCUUAAAAUUUAAAAUUGAAGAUACUAAAGGAAAUAUAUAUAAAUUUCAUUCUCAUGGAAAGGAUUCUCUUAUAAUCUUAUAAUAUUUGAGUUUUGAAAUUUUUUUGAAACAAAUGUAAUUUUAUUUGUGUACAAUCAAUAUUUACUUAUUUAUUAUAUUUUAAUUUAUUAACUAUCAAUCAUGUAAGUAUAUUUAGUCAGAAAAAUUAUAUCGAGAGAGAAUCCUAAUUUCACGCAAACACAAAUACAAGACAAAUAUGUUAAUUUCUAUACUAUUCACUUUCCUGUAGAAUCAAUUAUCUAAAAUGCAAGUUUGUGGCUAUAGAAAACUCGCCAAAGAAAGAAGAUAAUAACAAUUGAGCAUUGAUAGCAAAACUAAUGCAUCAUUUUCUUCUUGACUUGAUGAGAUGGUGCCAUUACAAAACAAUAAUUACCUUAAUUGACGGGCACUGAGUGAUGUGAAUACUACCAGCCAGUUCAUCUCUUCCAGUCUUGCUUAAUCACAAUCACAAACACCACGAGAUUGACAUUUGCAUUAUAUAUAUCUUCAGCAAUCGAAACACCUUGCAUUACCAAAUUAACCGGUAACAAACAAAGCAACCUUUCAUGGAGAGAAACUUUAGUCUCAGUAUGAUCACUGUGUCAUUAACCCACUUCCUGCUUCUUUGCUUGGUUGUUGCAGCAGCAGCAGCAGCAGCAAGCAACAAUAUUACCACAGACCAACAAGCUCUUCUUGCCCUGAAAGAUCAUAUAACUUAUGAUCCAACCAAACUUUUUGCCCAUAAUUGGACCUCGAAUACCUCUGUUUGCACCUGGAUUGGCCUCAGUUGUGAUGUCAAUAGCCAUAGAGUCACAGCCUUAGAUAUUUCUCAAUUCAAUAUACAAGGCACCAUCCCUCCUCAACUUGGAAACCUCUCUUCACUCACAACACUUAAUCUUAGUCGUAAUAAGCUUUCUGGAAGCAUUCCCCCCUCCAUCUACACCAUGCAUACGCUAAAAUUUCUAGACUUCACUGAUAACCUGCUCUCUGGUUCAGUGUCUUCCUCCGUCUUCAACAUGUCUUCAAUAUUAGACAUUCGUUUGACCAAUAACAGACUUUCUGGUGAGCUUCCGAAAAAUAUUUGCAACUAUCUUCCUUACUUGAAAGCCCUUUUUCUGGACAAAAACAAGUUGCAUGGCAAAAUUCCUUCAGCUUUAUCAAAUUGCAAACAACUGCAACAAUUGCAUUUGCAGUUCAAUAAUUUAUCCGGUGCAAUACCGAAAGAAAUCGGCAACUUGACUAUGCUCAAAUGGAUAGAUCUCGGCUACAACAAACUCCACGGUAUGUUUCAUAAUGCUAUCUAAAUAUUUUAAUUUAUCACUUGUUUAUUUUAAUUUCUCACUUGUUAUUUUUCUUGAAUACUUUAGAUAAGAUCUAGUAAGUGAGAUUUUUUGCAUCUAUGUUAAUUUACCAGGUGAGAUACCCCCCGAAAUCGCUAAUCUUCGAAAUCUAGAGGCUUUGGUGCUUGGAAUGAACAACCUAGUGGGUGUGUUACCAGCUACAAUCUUCAACAUGUCAACACUGAAGGUAGUUAUCCUCAUUAAUAACUCUCUCUUCGGAAGUCUCCCAUCAAGAAUAGACCUUUCACUUCCAACUAUUGAGCACCUUAACUUGGCACUUAAUAGAUUUUCUGGAACCAUUCCUAGUUCCAUCACCAAUGCUUCUAAGCUCACCUUUCUAGAGUUGGGAGGAAACACAUUUUCGGGCUUUAUUCCGAACACAAUUGGUAAUUUAAGAAACCUUGAGUGGCUCAGCUUGGGUAAUAACUACUUGACAUCUUCAACCUCAAAAUUGAGCUUUCUUUCCUCUUUGGCAAAUUGCAAGAAAUUAAGAGACAUAGGCUUAACAGGCAAUCCACUCGACGGUAUCCUUCCAAGUUCAAUAGGUAAUCUUUCCAUGUCUUUGAAAACACUUUACAUCGGCAAUUGCAGUAUUAGUGGCAACAUUCCUCAAUCAAUUGGCAAUUUAAGCAACUUAUUGGCCUUAGUAUUAGAAGGCAAUAAAUUGACCGGACCAAUCCCAACUACAUUCGGCCAACUGCAGAAACUCCAAGGCUUAUUUCUUACAUUCAAUAAGUUGGUAGGUUCAUUCCCAGAUGAGCUUUUCCAUCUAGCUAGGCUGGAUAAAUUGGUAUUAUUGGGAAAUAAGCUUUCAGGAUCUAUGCCUUCAUGCUUAAGUAACCUCACUUCUCUGAGAUCUCUCUACUUAGGGUCCAAUAGGUUUACUUCUGUUAUUCCCUCAACUUUCUGGAGCCUAAAAGACAUCUUGUUCUUUGACUUUUCAUCAAAUUUCUUGGUUGGUACUCUUUCUUUCGACAUAGGUAAUUUGAAGGUGCUUCUAGGAAUAAGUUUAUCAGAAAAUAACUUAUCGGGUGAUAUGCCAGCCACAAUUGGAGGGAUAAAAAAACCUUCAAAUUAUGGACCUAGCAUAUAAUAGAUUGGAAGGGCAAAUUCCUGAAUCAUUUGGUGACUUGACAAGUUUGGAGGUUUUGAAUUUGUCAAAUAAUAAAAUCUCUGGGUCUAUUCCAAAAUCCAUGGAGAAACUCUUUUACCUCCGAGAGUUAAAUCUCUCUUUCAAUGAACUAGAAGGUGAGAUUCCUAGUGGAGGAAUUUUUGCCAACUUCACAGCUGAGUCAUUUAUGGGAAAUGAGUUAUUGUGUGGUUUACCAAAUCUUCAAGUCCAACCAUGCAAAGUUAGCAAGCCGAGGACAGAACAUAAAUCAAGGAAAAAGAUACUUCUCAUUGUGAUUGUUUUGCCAUUGAGUAUUGCUCUAACAAUAGCAAUCACUCUACCUCUCAAAUCUAAGCUGAUCGAAUGUGGAAAAAGAAGCACAGUGUUGUCAAAUGAUAGUGUCUUGUCAUCACAAGCAACACUAAGAAGAUUUUCAUACUUAGAACUUUUACAAGCAACAGAUAAUUUUGCUGAAAACAACGUAAUUGGCAUAGGAGGUUUUGGUUCUGUUUACGGUGGAAGACUUGAAGAUGGGAUGAAGAUUGCAAUAAAAGUGUUUCACCAGCAAUGUGCAAGCGCAUUGAAGAGUUUUGAGGCUGAAUGUGAAGUGUUAAAAAAUAUUCGCCAUCGAAACCUUAUUAAAGUUAUCAGCAGUUAUUCAAACAAUGACUUCAAAGCAUUAGUUCUAGAAUACAUGUCCAACGGGAGCUUAGGGGACUGGCUGCAUUCUAGCAAUUAUGUGCUGAAUAUAUUUCAGAGGUUGAACAUAAUGAUUGAUGUUGCAUCAGCUUUAGAACAUCUCCACUUCGAUCAUUCGACUCCUAUUAUUCAUUGUGACUUAAAGCCUAGUAAUGUAUUGUUGGACGGAAAUAUGGUUGCUCAUUUGAGUGAUUUUGGCAUAGCAAAGCUUUUAAGUGGAGAGGAUGAGUCUAUGAUGCGAACAAAAACCCUUGCCACUAUAGGUUAUAUGGCACCAGGUUUGCUUCAAACAACUUUUUUUUUUUAGUUCAUUUUAAAUUUUGCAACUUAUUGAUUUUUACGAUCCUCACAUCAAAAUGUUAUUGAUUAUUUAUCUAAUUUUGAAAUUAAUUUGAUUCAUAGAGUACGGCAUAGAAGGAGAAGUAUCUACAAAAAGUGAUGUUUACAGCUAUGGGAUUAUGUUGAUGGAAACUUUUACCAAGAAAAAACCCACAGAUGAAAUUUUUGUUGGAGAAUUGAGCUUGAAGCGUUGGGUUAAUGACUUGCUUCCUACUUCAUUAGUGGAAGUUGUGGACAAAACUCUGCUAAGUGGAGAGGAAAAACAUUCUGCAGCAAAGGAGCAAUGUCUGUUGUCUAUCUUUAGUUUGGCUCUGGAGUGUACAAUGGAAUCACCGGAAAAGAGGAUUAAUGCAAAAGAUAUUGUUACAAGAUUACUCAAGAUAAGAGACACAUUGAGUAAAAGGAUAGGAAAUUUAAGUUAAUUUCGUUUGCUUUCAUUGAUAGUUAAUUCGAAUUCAUGUAAUAAGUCUAAGAAUCUUAUAUCUUCAAAUUCGCAUUUUAAAAUGCACAAAUGUUUGUGUAUACAUAAUUAGUAAUCGAUUCUCAAGCUUUGGACAUUUAAAAGCACUGCUAAAAGACAAAAUUUUAAUUCACUAUUUUUUUGUCUUUUAAUUUUCUUUAAGUUUUAAUGAUUCCGCAUUUUAAAAUCCUGUGGAACGUGCAUGUAAAAUUCUUUUAUCUUUUAGAGGAAAAUGGGCAAGAGAAGAAGAUUUGGCAAAGGAAUUGCAACCGCAUUUGGAGCUAGUUUUAAUUUUGUCUUUUAAUUCUUUUACACUUGGCUUUUGUUAUUGAUGUUAACUUCGAUGUGUGUGCGUGUGCGACUGAAUUCAACUUACAUGCUAUUGAUGCAGCCACCAAAAAGGGGUGGUCCAUCAUCAAUCAACAAGGUUUAUUAUUAUUAAUUUCCAUAUUGAUUUUCUUAAUUAUAAAUAAUACUAAUGCUAUUUCAUAGUUAUAAAUAUAUUAGAAUUAAUCGAAAUCAUUUUUUAGUGUGGCAUGGCUAAAACUACCUUUUUUUUAUUAUAAGUAAUUACUACUUUCACAUUAAGAAAAAUACUCCUAUUUUUAAGGAAAAGUCAAGUACCUGUAGUUGUGAAGACUCGAGCUCACUCCCUUAUGAUAAAUCUUCAUAUUAAUUACGUAAAUAUCCUCUAAAAUUUUAAAUUAGCUAUUCAAAAUUUGAUGUUAUACGGGUAUUUCAUUUAUUUGAGUAGGGGUUAGGGGUCAAUUGGAUACAAAUUCAAAAUUAUCCUUACUUGAGAAGGUGAUAAAAAUUGGGGAUUUAGUUUGGAUGUCAUUAGCUACAAAUAUUAAACUCAUACAUUUAAUUCAAAAUUAGAGGGCUGAUAUAUGCGCAUCAUCGUCCACGUUAUAGUGACACUGCGUCACCAUUCCACAACCUCUCCAAUGAAAAAUUGACAUGCUUCUUGUGCGCAUCUAAUCAGAAUCUUGAAAAUUAAUCACAAAAUUGUACUUUUAUUAUAAAAAGAAUAAAGAAACUCCAAGAAAAAAAAAAGACUUACAUAAAUAGAUUGAAAAAUCUAGAUUUCAAGUUGUCUAUAUUAGCUUGAUAUUUUUAUUAAUAGUCAUCCUCCCAAAAAAAUUCCAUCAAAAUAUAUUUUAAUUUUAUGUUAAUUCAUAAACUUGAAAAAAUCAUUUUAGAAUUAAUUAAAACAUAAUUUAUUGUUGCUCAAAAAAGGUAGAACUUAGUUAUCAGAAAAAAGUGUCUAAAAUAUAUGUUAAAAAAAAAUCAUGGUUGGUUGGACUGAUUGAAUUUUUUUUUCUUUUUUAAGAAUUAAGACAAUUGGAUGGAUUGAGUAAUAAUAAUACAUAUUUAUUUGGCAAAUGGCAGGGAGGCUUUCGUCUGAUGCAGAUUGAUUAGAGAGAAAAUAUAACAAUUUUAAGCUCGUCAGAUUCGAAGCUGCUUACCUGUCGUGUGGGGAUCACUUCCGUGUCUUAUUUUUCUAGAAAAAUCUGGACCAUUGGAUUUACCAUUAGUCAAUAGAGAAAUGUUGAUCUUGAUUCUUGAUCAAGAUCGAAGUUUGAUUCUAACUAACACGAUAUCAGAUUGCGAAGCAAGCAAAUUGAAAGUCACUUGUUCUAUGGAAGAAACACAAGUUCUAAUAAAACAUUCUCAUAGUAAAGUGAAUUACCAUCCAACGAUCCAACUCAUGUUUUCAAAUUGUAAAUUGCAAAUCGUGUGUUUGCUCCAUUACAGAGUUUCUUCAAUCUGAAAUAGCGAAUCAUUUGUGUUCUAGAUUAAUCGUGGGUCUAUAUCCAAAUCUAAAAAUUGACUAACUUGAUUUCUAUUAAAUUCUUAAUCCUAACAAGAAAAAUUGAAGAUUAAAAACGACUAAUUUGGUACCAUACCACUAUUGUAACAUAGGUAGAUCCUCUAUUAAUUGGAGUAAAGAUUGAAUUAUCUCAUUUAUUAAGGUUUAUCAAAAUCUUGUGUCAAAAUCUAUUAAUGAUAUAGGUUCAAGGAUGAAAAAGUCACUGCAUUACUUUUGAGUUCCCAAAUAGAUGAAUGGAUGUUAUUUUUAGAUUCCGGAGAGUCGAAAAUAUUAAGAUAGGUGCUAAAUCGAAUUAAGUUGUAGAUACGAUAGAAAUGGAUUUGGAGAGAUUGGAAUCCUAGGUAAUCCGGUGCACGUUGUCGUGUUAAAUUCUCGUUGACUUCACGUUGACUGAAGCAUUAUUGGAAGAAACAAGUUUAUUGAUGUGAGGCCUUUGAGGUUGUAAGUGUUAAAUAUGAGAAGAAUACCCACACACCCAUUAUCCUAUUACUCUUAUAUCACAUGAAGAGAAUUCAACAUUUGAUUCACACGGAAAAAAUUUGUGAGGAUUGUGAGGGUUGAUGGAAUAUAAUUUAGAUACAAAGUGUUUUACCAGUGCGAUGCUUCGCAAGUGUUCUUGAAUCAAUAUAAACUCACGUUAUUUUCAUAGUGAUUGUUUCAUGUGCACGUGGAUAUAAUCACAUGUCGAGAUUUUUUUCCUUAAAUUAUGGUCUUAUUUAGUAUUAAGGUGUUAUAUCUUUUAAGGUACAAUUAUUGUUGGAAAAAAGUUGCAUCUAUCAAAUAAAAUUAGUACUAUGUGCUAAAUAUAAUUGUUAAAUAAUAAUUUUGACAAAAUUAGUGAAGUUAUAUAGAUUUUUUUUCAUCAUACAAGCAUAAAAUCAAAUCAACUUAACUUCUAAGUUAUAUAUCGGCUACUUAGGGAUGGCAAUGGAUUGGAUCUGACCCAAGAUCCACGUGAUCCAAAUCUAAUCGGAUCGGAUUUGGGUCAGUUUAAAAUGAAUUUGGAUCGGAUUUGGAUAUUGAUGUGCGGAUCUAAGACGGAUCUGGAGCAGGUCUGGAUCUAUCUUAGUAUCUAAAUCCAUAUCCAUAUCCACCCAUCUUUUAAUUUAAUUUUAUUUUAAAAGUUUCUUAACAAUUGUGGAAUUAUAAUGAUAAUGAAUUUUAUUCAUAGCAUAUUAGUGGUAUUUACCAUGCAUUUAAACUCUUUAAAAUUAAAGGUUAGUUUUGUAAAUUUAAAGACUAGCCAGGCCCAAAGCAUGUACAUGCAAUAUUCAAAUUGCAAGCCAAGUAAUACAACCUGGCAAUUUAUUUUAUUAUAUUGGCCAAAUAAUUUUUAAGGAAUAUAGGUAUUCAUAUAUUUUGUCAAAUAUGGUCAUAAUAAAAAUAAUAAAGGACUGAAUAUAAAUCAUAUUUUAUUUAUAUGUCAUUAUCUAAUAUUAUAAGAAUGAGGGUGGGUGUGUUGUAGAUAUUAGAAUGAUGAAUGAGACAAUAGAAUAUUAGAUUGAUCUUACUCCUGCAAUUACUUUUAAAGGAUAUUUUAUUAUCUUAUUUGUUGUUUUGGUGUAAAAGUAUAAGUUACAAUAUUUAUUAUAUUUUUGAGAAAAAUUAUAUAAUUUAUUUGUUAUCAAUACAUUUUAACCUUCAAUUUUCAUUCUAAAAAAUUAUUACUUUUUAAUUGAUGAGUUUUAGAAUUCAUGACAGAUCUAGAGCAGAUUUGGAUUUUAAUUUUUUUUUUCAGAUUUGGAGCAGAUAUAAAUAUUUAUUUCUUUUAUGGAUAUGGAUAUGGAGCGAAAAAUAUAGAUUCAUGAUGGAUCUGGAGCAGAUACGGAUCUUGAUUUUUAUUAUGGAUUUGGAUCUGGAGCAGAGUAGAUCCAACCCAUAUCUGCCCCAUUGCCAUCCCUACGGCUACUGUUAAUCAUAUGUUUUAGUUCUGUAACUUUUAAGUUAUAGUUACCCAAUCUCAAUUCUAAACCAGACCUAUAAAGAUCAAAGAUUUCCUCAUUAAAUUAUAUGUCUUGUGAUUGCUUAUUUAAUUUAUAUUUUUUUUUAUUUAUCUUUAUUAAUUAUAAUCAUCUUUUUAUAAAUUAAAAUUGAAGGAAGUUGAUUGAUGUUGUUGACACACGCACACACGCACACACUCACAAAGAUAUAUUGGAAGUGCUUACGUCGACUCGAAGUUGUUGGGAAUUAAUGCAUGUAUUGAUUUAUUGGGAGUGUUUAAAUGAUUUUUUGAUUUACUUGAUUUAUUGAUUGAAUAUUGUUUGAUUGCUUCAUAUCCAUUCUAGAAAGUUUAUUUCUUUGUGAAAUUUCAACGAAAUAUGUUUUUUUUUUUAAAUAAGGGUGUUCUAAAUAAUUUAAAAAUAUAUAUGGACUAAUUAGAAUUAAUUAUUAGGUAAUUAACUCAAUCUGUAUAGGGUGAAACAACAUUUAUCCUAAUUAUAUCAUGAUAAAUACUUUUCCUAUUAGAAUUAGGAAAUCAUAGGUUUAUUGAAUUGUUUUUUUUUUUCCUUUGCGGAAACGGAUUAGAGAAUUAGAAAACAAUCAUGUUGAUGUCAAAAUCUGAUCUAGUCGGUUAGCGACUUAAUAUCAUAUUACUGCACCAACAUUAAAUUUAUUGGGUGGAGAAUCGACUGGUCAAUUGUCAAGAUGUCCUGCAAUCACUAGCGAUUAACCUACGAAUACCUAAAAUCACAGAAGACGGUAAGAGGCACCGGAAGUUUUUUCGGCGUGAACCUUCCGACGCUCAAGUCAGUUUAUAGGUUUACCAUAAUAAAAAUAAAUAAUUUCUAUUUAAAAAAAAAUAGAGUUCAAAAGCUCAAAAAUAAAACCCAAUCCCAAUAUGAAAAUGAAUUUUUUUUUUUUUUUUUCUAGCUUGGCCGAAUCCUUCUGCCUCCUAAAGAAACAUAACAGAGAAGCAGGUAGCCAUGUUCCCUAGGUAACGCCCCACUCCCCUCUUUUAUUCCUCCCCCUCUCUUCCGUUUCCUUCUUUUGCUCACUAUCCUUCAUAAUUUUUUAUGCUUGUCUUCCCAAAAUAGCCUUUUAAUACACAAGUAAAUGUCUAGGCUUUGGUGAGGAUAGUUUGGUCAUUGCAUUUUACAAGUAAGAUGAGUGGUGGAGAAAAAUGAGGAGUGCACAUAUAACGCUUCAGCAAAUCCCACCAGCAAUUCCAUUUUCUUAAUUAAUUAAUCUCUUCAGCAAAUCCCACCAACUCUUCAGCAAAUCCUAAUGAUAUUAUUAUCAGGUUUAAAACAGUACACAAAUAGUGAAAAGCUAACUAGUCUGUAGAGUAAUUUGCUAAUUGCUAUCUCCUCUCUCCGCGCGCUGAAUAAUUUGUUGCAUGCAAACUUUUUAUUUUAUGCAAAUCGUACGUACUGUAACAUUGGAAUUGAUGUAAAAGCAAAAAUACAAGAAUAUUUAUGUCAAUAAAAAUAGUUUUUUUGGCCUUUUUAAAUAAACACAACGCGAUAUUGCUCUGCUCUACAUUUUUGCUAUCUCUUUAUUCUUCUUUUUUUUUUUGGGCUUCUUAAAGCCUCAAACUUUGAUAACCAAAACUUCAUCGACCUAUGAAAAAAUCUGCAGAUUAGUUUUUAUUAUCGGAAUAAUCAUUUGAGAAUACUAAAACAAAAUAUAAAUAAGAAAAUAGGAGGUUAAAUUAGAGGGGGGAAAAAAGGUAUGUUGGAUAGAUUACUAUAGUUUAAGAAAAAAAAAUCCAAUUGGGAAUUUUUUUCUUUAAUUUUUGUUUUACUUGAUUGAGAUUUCUCCUUGGUCCUUACAGUUUUAAGUUUGGAUGCCGUAGGGUUAGUAAUUUAGUACUUCCUUUGCAAGCUGAGUGCAAGAAUGAAAAUCUUUAAAGAAAUAAAAAAAAAAAAAAAAAGCAUACCAAUAGGUAAUUAUAAAUAACCAUACAUAAACAUAAACAAAAUGAGGUAAUUAUUAAUAUUAUUUUUUGUUUUAUUUCUUACUUGUCUAUUUUAUUUGCUGCUUGAUAACCCGUAAAUACUAAUCUAGUACUGCUAAUUUCAGACACAAAAUUUUUAACUCUAGGCUGCAGUUUUACUCAAAAUGAUGACCACUGGCUUCGCACCAUUUAACCGGCAUACAUUUCUACAAAUUGAACAAGGCUAUUGAUUUUCAUUAUUAUUUUUUAUUUUUUUAUAAAUUACUAUUUUAAUUUUCACUUUUCAUUGGGUUGUUUAACGGAUUAGUGAAGUUGGUGGUCGUGAUGCACUCACAAGGUACAAUUUUAUUUUAUAAUUUCAAAUUUGUAUUUUAAAAUGCAGGUACAUUAUGUAUACAUAAUUAUUGAUUUUCGUAUGUGGGUGUUUUGAAAUAUUGCUAAAAGACCAAACUUUAAUAAACUAUUUUUCAUCUUUUUUUUUUCCUAAAGUUUAAGUGAUAUCCGCAUUUUAAAUUCAUGUGGAACAAAAGCUAAUGUAUGCACAAAAUCCUUUUAUUUUUUCCGAGAAAAAUGGUUAAGAGAAGAAGAUUUUUCUCUUGAAAAAGAAAAACUAAUACGAUGCAAGCAUAGGAAAGAGGUCAGUGUUUUGGAUUAGAAUUUAGUAUUGAGCUGAAUUUUAUACUAAACUCUUUUAUAGUACUGCGAUUAAUAAACUCAUGAUUUGCUUUUGCUUUUACCUCAAGUGAAAGAAAGAGGAAACCUUUUGUUUUUUGUUUGAUUCUUGACUAUAGGUGUUACCUAUAUAGAGAGUUGAGGUAGCUGCCUUAAGUGAUGGUGAUAAAAAGAUUAAGCAGCGCACACAAUCUUACUGUCGUCCAGACCAUCCAGCUGUGAUGACUCUUGUUUUUUGGUUACAUUAGCUUUAGUGGAACGGAGGGCCAAUUUAACAAAGACUAGAUUUGGUGGCUUACUAUAAUGCUUAUUCUCAGGGAAUCUAAUGUUAUAAGAUGAUUUAAUGAUCUUCUAUGAUUGUGAGUAGUAUAGUAUAAUUGAAAAGAGCUUGGGCUCCUAUGAUGAAUAUUUAAUAGUAACACAGUACUGUUAUUGAAAAAAACACAGUUACAAUAAACUCUUCAUUUAUUCAUUGUGGAGAUUGAAUGGCAAACAGAGAAUAAAAUGAAGCAGAGGAAUCUCAUUGCCAGUAAAAUUGACCCUCUUUAAUGUUAUAUGGCACAGGUGUGUGUACAGCAAGAUCAAGUUACUUGCAGUUUUUAUUGUAAAAUAUAUAGGUUAUGACCAUGAUCAUUGUAGUUAGGUUUUGAUGAUUUUAGAUGCUUUUUUUAUUUUUUUUAAAAUUGUGACACCUUUGAUUUAUGGUAGUUUUGCAGAAGAAAAAAAUAUAUAUAAAAAUUAGGAGGGAUGAGUUAACUAACGAUUGCAAUCAUUACAGUAAUGUUGAUGAGUGAUACAUCAUUUGAAAUUUACUUGUCAGUUGCUGAAAUGAUGAAAAAAAACAGUAAACAAUAGCAGUAAUAUUUUUUGGCAAUAUAAAAAAUUAUUGCGGUUAUUUUUUGGCAAUAUAAAAAAAUUUUAGCAAAUAAAAAUUAAUUUUUUUCCGAUUAACUAAAAAAUUAAUUAAAAACUUCUGCGAUGGCAUUUUUUAUGGGUGCAUAUACCCUCCCUUUAAAAGAAAAAAUAAUAAUUAAUACUUAAUAUAGUAUUAAAUACGAAAAUAUCAAUAUUUGACUACACAAAUUUAAUAGUCUUGUGUAAUUAGUGAGUGAGAGAUUGGGUGUAUUGGAGUUUUGGGUAGUGAGCCAAAAUAUUACAAUACUUGUAAUCUUUAUUUCACUAGUGAAAUAUUUUCCUUCUGUUUUUGCCCGUGGACGUAGGCUAAAAGCCGAACCACGUAAUUUCUGGUGUCCUCUAUUGUACUUGUUCUUUAUUUGCUUCCAAUUUUAUUUUAACUGCGCGUCUGCUUCACCCAUCAAUUUCCUAACAAAUCUUGAUCCCAUGCACACGCAAAUAUGUUAAUUUCUAUACGCUUCACUUACCUGUAGAAUCAAUUAUCUAAAAUGCAAGUUUGUGGCCACAAAAAAAGCCAAAGAAAGAAGAUAAUAACAAUUGACUUGUAUAUUAUACUCAUACAAUCCACUCGACAUAAUGAUAUCAUUUUAAUAAGGCAAUGGCUGAUGAUCUCCAUUGAAAAACUAAUUCAAUUUUUUUGCUUCAUUUAACUUUUUGGUUGUUGAAAAUAACCUUAAUUAUCAAAUAAUUGGAGAAAGAGUAAAGAACAUUUAACAAAUUUAUGUGCAAAAAAAAAAAAAAAGAAGUUGAAGAGAAAGGGUGCUUGCAGAAGUGGGUGUCAAAGAAACAUCGGUCCAUAAGAAUUAUUGCGGUUAUUUUUUGGCAAUAUAAAAUAUUUAUAGCAAGUAAAAAUUAAAUUUUUUCCGAUUUACUAAAAAAUUAACUAAAAACUUCUGCCACAACAUUUUUUAUGGGUACAUAUACCCUCCCUUUAAAAAAAAAAUAAUAAUUAAUGCUUAAUAUAGUAUUAAAUACCAAAAUAUCAAUAUUUGGCUACUCAAAUUUAUAUCAUUAGGUCCUUAAAAUUAAAAAUUGAUGAUACAAAAGGAAAUAUAUAUAAAUUUCAUUCUCAUGGAAAGGAUUCUCUUAUAAUCUUAUAAUAUUUGAGUUUUGAAAUUUUUUGAAGCAAAUGUAAUUUUAUUUGUGUACAAUCAAUAUUUACUUAUUUAUUAUAUUUUAAUUUGUUAACUAUCAAUCAUUUAAGUAUAUUUAGUCAGAAAAAUUAUAUCAAGAGAGAAUCCUAAUUUCACGCAAACACAAAUACAAGAUAAAUAUGUCAAUUUCUAUACUAUCCACUUUCCUGUAGAAUCAAUUAUCUAAAAUGCAAGUUUGUGGCUACCGAAAACUCGCCAAAGAAAGAAGAUAAUAACAAUUGAGCAUUGAUAGCAAAACUAAUGCAUCAUUUUCUUCUUGACUUGAUGAGAUGGUGCCAUUACAAAAAAAAAAGUACCUUAAUUGACGGGCACUGAGUGAUGUGAAUACUACCAGCCAGUUCAUCUCUUCCAGUCUUGCUUAAUCACAAUCACAAACACCACGAGAUUGACAUUUGCAUUAUAUAUAUCUUCAGCAAUCGAAACACCUUGCAUUACCAAAUUAACCGGUAACAAACAAAGCAAUCUUUCAUGGAGAGAAACUUUAGUCUCAGUAUGAUCACUUUGUCAUUAACCCACUACCUGCUUCUUUGCUUGGUUGUUGCAGCAGCAGCAGCCGCAAGCAACAAUAUUACCACAGACCAACAAGCUCUUCUUGCCCUGAAAGAUCAUAUAACUUAUGAUCCAACCAACCUUUUUGCCCAUAAUUGGACCUCGAAUACCUCUGUUUGUACCUGGAUUGGCAUCACUUGUGAUGUCAAUAGCCAUAGAGUCACAGCCUUAGAUAUUUCUCAAUUCAAUCUACAAGGCACCAUCCCUCCUCAACUUGGAAACCUUUCUUCACUUACAACGCUUAAUCUUAGUCAUAACAAGCUUUCUGGAGACGUUCCAUCCUCCAUCUACACCAUGCAUUCGCUAAAAUUUCUUGACUUCACUGAUAACCAGCUCUCUGGUUCAGUGUCUUCCUUCGUCUUCAACAUGUCUUCAAUAUUAGAAAUUCUUUUGACCAAUAACAGAUUUUCUGGUGAGCUUCCGAAAAAUAUUUGCAACUAUCUUCCUUAUUUGAAAGCCCUUUUCUUAAACAAAAACAUGUUUCAUGGCAAAAUUCCUUCUGCUUUAUCAAAGUGCAAACAACUGCAAAAAUUAAAUUUGCAGUUCAAUAAUUUAUCCGGUGCAAUACCGAAAGAAAUCGGCAACUUGACUAUGCUCAAAGGCAUAUAUCUCGAAUACAACAAACUCCACGGUAUGUUCAUAAUACUAUGUAAAUGUUUUAAUUUCUCAAUUGUUAUUUUCUUGAAUACUUUAGACAAGAUCUUGUAAGGGAGAUAUUUUUGGAUCUGUGUUAAUUUGCCAGGUGAGAUACCCCACGAAAUCGCUAAUCUUCGAAAUCUAGAGGAUUUAUUGCUUGGAAUGAACAACCUAGUUGGUGUGUUACCAGCUCCAAUCUUCAACAUGUCAACACUGAAAUUAUUUGACCUCAUAAAUAACUCUCUCUCCGGAAGUCUUCCAUCAAGAAUAGACCUUUCACUUCCAACUGUUGAGUUUUUUGGCUUGGCACUUAAUAGAUUUUCUGGAACCAUUCCUAGUUCCAUCACCAAUGCUUCUAAGCUCACCGUUCUAGCGUUGGGAGAGAACACAUUUUCGGGCUUCAUUCCAAACACAAUUGGUAAUUUAAGAAACCUUGAGUGGCUCAGCUUGGAGAAUAAUUACUUGAAAUCUUCAACCUCAAAAUUGAGCUUUCUUUCCUCUUUGGCAAAUUGCAAGAAAUUAAGAUUCUUAAACUUAGCAGGCAAUCCACUUGACGGCUUCCUUCCAAGUUCAAUAGGUAAUCUUUCUGUGUCUUUGGAAACACUUUUCAUCGGCAAUUGCAGUAUUAGUGGCAACAUUCCUCAAGCAAUUAGCAAUUUAAGCAACUUGUUGACCUUAGUAUUAGAAGGCAAUAAAUUGACUGGACCAAUUCCAAUUACAUUUGGCCGACUACAGAAACUCCAAGGCUUAGAUCUUGCAUUCAAUAAGUUGGUAGGUUCAUUCCCAGAUGAGCUUUGCCAUCUAGCAAGGCUGGAUCAAUUGGUCUUAUUUGGCAAUAAGCUUUCAGGAUCUAUACCUUCAUGCCUAAGUAAUCUCACUUCUCUAAGAUCUCUCUACUUAGGGUCCAAUAGGUUAACUUCUGUUAUUCCCUCAACUUUCUGGAGCCUAAAAUACAUCUUGUUCUUUGACUUUUCAUCAAAUUUCUUGGUUGGUACUCUUUCUUUCGACAUAGGUAAUUUGAAGGUGCUUCUAGGAAUAAAUUUAUCAGAAAAUAACUUAUCGGGUGAUAUGCCAGCCACAAUUGGAGGACUGAAAGAUCUUCAAUUUAUGGACCUAGCAUUUAAUAGAUUGGAAGGCCCAAUUCCUGAAUCAUUUGGUGACUUGACAAGUUUGGAGGUUUUGAAUUUGUCAAAAAAUAAAAUCUCUGGGUCUAUUCCAACAUCCAUGGAGAAACUCAUUUACCUUCGAGAGUUAAAUCUCUCUUUCAAUAAACUUGAAGGUGAGAUUCCUAGUGGAGGAAUUUUUACCAACUUCACAGCUGAGUCAUUUAUGGGAAAUGAGUUAUUGUGUGGUUUACCAAAUCUUCAAGUCCAACCAUGCAAACUUAGCAAGCCUAGGACAGAACAUAAAUCAAGGAAAAAGAUACUUCUCAUUGUGAUUGUUUUGCCAUUGAGUAUUGCUCUAACGAUAGCAAUCACUCUAGCUCUCAAAUCUAAGCUGAUCGAAUGUAGAAAAAGAGGCACAGAGUUAUCAAAUGAUAGUAUCUUGUCAUCAGAAGCAACACUAAGAAGAUUUUUAUACUUAGAACUUUUACAAGCAACAGAUAAUUUUGCUGAAAACAACAUAAUUGGCAGAGGAGGUUUUGGUUCCGUUUAUGGAGCAAGACUUGAAGAUGGGAUGAAGAUUGCAAUAAAAGUGUUUCACCAGCAAUGUGCAAGCGCAUUGAAGAGUUUUGAGGCUGAAUGUGAAGUGUUAAAAAAUAUUCACCAUCGAAACCUUAUCAAAGUUAUCAGCAGUUGCUCGAACGAUGACUUCAAAGCAUUAGUCCUAGAAUACAUGUCCAACGGGAGCUUGGAGGAUUGGCUGCAUUCUAGCAAUUAUGUGCUGAAUAUAUUUCAGAGGUUGAACAUAAUGAUUGACGUUGCAUCAGCUUUAGAAUAUCUCCACUUCGAUCAUUCAACUGCUAUUAUUCAUUGUGACUUAAAGCCUAGUAAUGUAUUGUUGGACGAAAAUAUGGUUGCUCAUUUGAGUGAUUUUGGCAUAGCAAAGCUUUUAAGUGGAGAGGAUGAGUCUACGAUACGAACAAAAACCCUUGCCACUCUAGGUUAUAUGGCACCAGGUUUGCUUCAAACAACUUUCGUUUUUAGUUCAUUUUAAAUUUUCCAACUUAUUGAUUUUUACAAUCCUCACAUCAAAAUGUUAUUGAUUAUUUAUCUAAUUGUGAAAUUAAUUUGAUUCAUAGAGUAUGGCAUAGGAGGAGAAGUAUCUACAAAAAGUGAUGUUUAUAGCUAUGGGAUUAUGUUGAUGGAAACUUUUACCAAGAAAAAACCCACAGAUGAAAUUUUUGUUGGAGAAUUGAGCUUAAAGCGUUGGGUUAAUGACUUGCUUCCUAAUUCAUUAGUGGAAGUUGUGGACAAAACUCUGCUAAGUGGAGAGGAAAAACAUUCUGCAGCAAAGGAGCAAUGUCUGUUGUCUAUCUUUAGUUUGGCUCUGGAGUGUACAAUGGAAUCACCGGAAAAGAGGAUUAAUGCAAAAGAUAUUGUUACCGGAUUACUCAAGAUAAGAGACACAUUGAGUAAAAGGAUAGGAAAUUUAAGUUAAUUUCGUUUGCUUUCAUUGAUAGUUAAUUCGAAUUCAUGUAAUAAGUGUAAGAACCUUAUAUCUUUUACUUUGAUUUUUUUUUUCUUGAGAAAACUGUUGUAGUCAUCUUGUUUCCAUGGGCGGAGUUGAUUUAGUUCUUCCAAGAAAUGCUACUGAUGACAUUUGUUUUAUACUUUCUCUUUUUUUUUGCAUGUGUUUAGGUAGAAUAGUGGUUUGGUUGCACUCUAAGAAGUCUAACUACACUAAAAGAAUAUGAUUUAAUUUAUUAAACAAAACUUCAAGUUCAAGAAAAGUAUCUCAUUGCCCCCAAUGCUUUGGACACCUAUUGGUAGGUUUGUACGUGUCCUCAACUUUUUUUUGGAGCACAAAAUUCGAGUCCCAUAAAGGCUCAAACAUUCCUUUCCUUCAUCCCGAGGGCGCCUUCUGUCCUCUGUUUUCUGUUUCCACACACAAAUAGCAAAAAGAAAUUAGAAUGACAACUGGGACAUAUAUAAGAGUGAAAUAAUUAAAAAAAUUAUGCUUUUUUGUCUGUCGUGUUAAAAUCGUAAGUACCGAAGUACUGUGAAAGAGAUUAAUUUACAGAAACUGAAGCCAAGGGUUCAAAAAAAACUAUUGAUGUAGGUAGAAUGCAAUGUCAUAUUCAUACAGAGAUGAAGUAUAUUAUUUACGGCUGGUAAGGACUAAGAAUUGAUGUAGCUAGAAUGCAAAGAUGAUGAGGUAUGUUGUACACUAUUGUUUUUAUUCUACAAUCAAUCUUGACCCCUGAUGCUUGGCUCUCAAUCUUGUCCAUUGAUCUUCUCUGAUUUUGGAGACUUGAAGACCUUUCAGUAUCAUGCCUUGUUGUUGGUGUCUUCCGUGCUGUAGAAUUCAUAUACAAGUUUUCCCGCCGACUUGCCAAGUAUUUGUUCAUUGAUGCAUUUUAUCAAACAGUUGGCCUGCUCAGAGCAAACAGCUCCUGUUUUAACUCCCCCUCCGUAGCUCAACUAUCUGGGAAGACAAUUAAUUGAGCUUGUUUCACAAUUAUAUGAAUCUGAAAGUUCAAUUAUAUCCUCUAAUGGAGAGAACUCAUUGCCUCAGUAUGAUCACUGUGUCAUCAACCCACUCCCCGCUUCUUUGCUUGGUUGUUGCAGCAAGCAACAAUUUUACCACAGAUCAACAAUAGUUUGUCCAUUUGUUCCAGUGAGGUCGUCAUUAAAAAUUAAUUUUCAUAUUGAUUUUCUUAAUUAUAAAUAAUACUAAUGAUAUUUCAUAGUUAUAAAUAUAUUAGAAUUAAUCGAAAUCAUUUUUUAGUGCGGCAUGGCUAAAACUACCUUUUUUUUUUUUAAGUAAUUACUACUUCAAGGAAAAUACUCCUAUUUUCAAGGAAAAGUCAAGUACCCGUAGUUGUGAAGACUCGAGCUCACCCUCUUAUGAUAAAUCUUCUUAUCAAUUACAUAAAUAUCCUCUAAAUUUUUAGUUAACUAUUCAAAAUUCGAUGUUAUACGGGUAUUUCAUUUAUUUGAGUAGGGGUUCGGGGUCAAUUGGAUACAAAUUCAAAAUUAUCCUUACUUGAGAAGGUGAUAAAAAUUGGGGAUUUAGUUUGGAUGCAUUAGCUACAAAUAUUAAACUCAUACAUCUAAUUCAAAAUUAGAGGGCUGAUAUAUGUGCAUCCUCGUGCACAUUAUAGUGACACGUGUCACCAUCCUACAACCUAUCCAAUGAAAAAUUGACAUGCAUCUUGUGCGCUUCUGAUCAAAAUCCUGAAAAUUAAUCACAAAGUUAUACUUUUAUUAUAAAAAGAAUAAAGAAACUCCAAAAAAAAAAAAAGACUUACAUAUAUAAAUAGUUUGAAUAAUCUAGAUUCCAAGUUGUCUAUAUUAGCUUGAUCUUUUUAUAAAUAGUCAUCUUCGAAAAAAAAUUCCACCAACAUAUAUUUUAAUUUUAUGUUAAUUAAUAAAUAGAAAAAAAUCAUUUUAGAAUUAAUUAAAACAUUAUUUAUUGUUGCCAAAAAAAGGAAGAAUUUAGUGAUAAGAAAAAAGUGUCUCAAAUAUACGUUAAAAAAAUUAAUCAUGGUGGGUUCGAUUGAUUGAAUUUUUUUUUUUAAUCUUUUUCUUUUUUAAGAAUUAAGACAAUUGGAUUGAUUGAGUAAUAAUAAAAUAUAUUUAUUUGGCAAAUGGCAGGUAGGCUUUCUUCUGAUGCAGAUUGAUUAUAGAGAAUAUACAACAAUUUUAAGCUCGUCAGAUUCGGAACCUGCUUAUCUGUCGUGUGGGGAUCACUUCCGUGUCUUAUUUUUCUAGAAAAAUCUGGACCAUUAGGCAGUAGAGAAAUGUUGAUCUUGAUUCCUGAUCAGGAUCGAAGUUUGAUUCUAUCUAACAUGAUAUCAGAUUGCGAAGCAGGCUAGUAUGUAAAUUUCUUUUAUCUUUUAGAGGAAAAUGGGCAAGAGAAGAAGAUUUGGCAAAGGAAUUGCAACCGCAUUUCUAGUAUGUUCUGAUCAGAGAAGCGAAAUCCAUCACGGUCUUUUAUCUUUACCCAUGUGGAGAAAUCAAGGGAUUUCGAAUCAGAGAAGCGAUGGGAUUUAGUUCUGAUCUGGGAUUUUGGAGACUUAGGGAGUGUGCGGUCUUGGACCAACAUUGAUGACGAUGACGCUUCAAAUUCAAUGACUUGAAAGCAGAAAACAAAGACAGACAAAAACAGACAUGCACUACAGCAAGAAAGAUUGACUGAAUCUUGGGUUACUGUGUCUGUGGUCUCAAAUGAAACACAAGUGGGAAGCCUUGCUGCAGUUUCAGCUUUGGUUUGUGUUUGAAGUUUUGAAUGUAAAAAGAGAACCGAGCAUGUGGUUGCCGACAAGAAUGGCCUGAGGUUUCUUAAGCUUCAUUGUAAUGUUACAACUGCUACUAAUUUGGUGGGGUGGGAGGUCGCUGGGUCGCUGUCAGUCCAUUUGCUUCUUUUCUUUCUUUUUGUUAUUUGUUGAGUUUUUUCCAUUUCUACUUUUCUUAAUAUAUAAAUUAUCAUUUUUUUAACAUGCAAAAUAUAUAGAACAUUUUAUGAGUUUAUAAAUAAAAAUU
This 68363-nucleotide long non-coding RNA is filed under the name Citrus maxima (pomelo). RNAcentral describes it as "long non-coding RNA (CMAX_LNC003927)". Lineage: Eukaryota; Viridiplantae; Streptophyta; Magnoliopsida; Sapindales; Rutaceae. The record is from RNAcentral.